This 55591-nucleotide long non-coding RNA is filed under the name Brachypodium distachyon (stiff brome). Its description in RNAcentral is "long non-coding RNA (BDIS_LNC003997)". The stretch from base 35107 to 35231 matches the Rfam family "MIR1120/MIR1122 microRNA precursor family". The record is from RNAcentral. Lineage: Eukaryota; Viridiplantae; Streptophyta; Magnoliopsida; Poales; Poaceae.
CUGUGUGCUCUCAAUCUCCCUGUUCGAGCAACGAAAGCGACGCGAGCCGUCCAUAUAAAUCCACGUCGCCGCCACCAGAUUUCGGAGGCCACCCCGAAUUUCCACCCGGCGGAGGAAGUCCCUUUGUCUCUCUUUCGAGGGAUCCCUCCGUUCAGCCCGGCGGCGGCGAUGGCAUCGGCGGCGCCGGUGCCUAUGCCGGCGGUCUUCGCGGGGUGGUGGGAGCGCGUGAACGGCUCGCCGGCGUGGCAGGACGGGAUCUUCUGGGCCCUCGCCGCCCUCUACGGCCUCGUCGCUGCCUCCUCCUUCGUAAGCAUCGAAUCCUCGGAAUAAACCUGUAGAGUACUCCCACUAGGUUAGGUUGGUGCCUUGAUUUGUGUGCCUAUUUGGUUGGAGUACCGAUAAAUUCGUGAAAUCACUAUCAGCGAUCUCAUCUCACUUGGGAAUAAAGGCGAUUUCGUUAGCUUUGUGGCUUGUGAAGUUGUGAGCAUAAUAUUGUUUUGCAUCCGAACCUUGUAAAAGCUGAUGAUGAGGAGUAGAUUACAGACCUUUAGAUCAAUCAAACCGAAAACUGCAAUUUGGAGUAGGGAUAGUUUGGACAAAGGCUUGCGUUUGUUUUCUUGCUUAUGUUUCUGAUCAAUCAAGACCUUGCUGGAUAAACAGCAUACAGGAAAAGAAUAUCUGGAUAGAAUCCAAAUUAUGGAUAACCUUACUAUCUGAGGCCUGCCUGUAUGGAAAGGACAUGCUGAUGCGUUGCUACCCGCCCGUGUUCAAGCCUCCACAGUCCAUAUGCUCGCAACUGCUGAGUCGAUGCGCCACUCUUCUUAAUAGUUAAUAUAUAAAUGCCGAGGGACUCUUGCUCCUCAGGCGUCAAUUUUUGAACUGUCAAUGGCCUCUACUUUUCGUGGACUGCCUAUGCUCACAGUUGGAUGGACAAAUUUAUUUGAGGAAUAGUAGGCAAUAUUAAUAAUGUGCCUUACAUGCAGAUCCAAGUUGCCAGAAUACAGCAAAGAGUUCCUGAAUAUGGCUGGACAACACAAAAGGUCUUCCAAUUCCUUAAUUUUGUGGUUAAUGGAGGUAUAUGGUUCAAUCUCAAGUGGAAUUAAUAACGGAGUACAACUUGCAUGCUCAUUUAUUUCCCGCGUAAUACUGAUUUUUGUUCUGUUGAUAAUCUGCAGCAAGGUGUUCUGUUUUCGCUUUCCGUCGCCAAGUUCAACAAGUGAAUCCUCAGGUUUGGAUACCUUCAAUAUUUUCUAUCACUCAAAUGAAAUGUUCAAUUUGAUUGACCAGAGUUAUAUGUUUAUUUAUAUUUCAGAUCUUUCAGCAUGUUAUUCUUGAUCUGCCGGGGCUUGCAUUUUUCACUACCUACGCAAUGUUGGCACUUUUCUGGGCUGAAAUAUCUUAUCAAGCACGUGGUCUAGACACUGAUGGCCUGAGAUCAGGUUUCUACGCUAUUAAUGGUGUCAUUUAUGCAAUACGGGUAAAGCAGGUUCUUGACAAGUCUAUACUGCUUGUUAAGUUUGUUUAAUUCAACUAGAGUUGUUUUUGCUAGUGAUCAUAUUUUUCUCUUUACGGAGUGGUGUAUUUCAUGAAAAUUUCUGCAUGUGGAAACUCCCUGUACCAUUGAAAACCAUGAUACACUUUUCUCUUUGUUUUCUCUGAAAAGAGAUAUACUACCUCCGUUCCUAAAUAUAAGAUGUCCCACCUUUGUCCCAAGUCAAACUACUCAAAGUUUGACCAAGUUUAUAGAACAAUAUGCUAAUAUCUACGAUAUCAAAUAAGUAUAUUAUGGAAAUAUAUAGCGUGAUGGGUUCAUAAAACUAAUUUAGAGUUGUAUAUGUUAUCGCAUUUCUUUAUAAACCUGGUCAAACCUUUAUGAAGUUUGACUUAGGACAAAACUAAAACAUCUUAUAUUUAGGAACAGAGGGCGUACUUGCUAUUGCUAUUAAUUCUGAAUCAUCACAAUAGAAACAGUGUAUGAAGGUAAUAGGAAAUAACUCUAGAUCGCAGUUAGUCAUUUAUUGGUAUUUCAUUGCAGCGUUGACGGUUGGGUGUUUUCUUUAAAUUAAAUAUCACCGCUCGCCUGUCUGUUUUAUAUGUGUUCUUCUCACUUCACUUAUUAUUCUGCGUUCUGUUUAUUGUUCACUUACUCACAUAAAUUUGCUUCUUCAGGUUCUGUUGUGGGGAUUGUUGUGGUGGAAUCCAAAUCCAUCUAUGCUCAUCCUUUCAAAGCUAUUUGUUGCUGGCCUGUCCUUUUCCGCUGCCCUGGGUUUUCUGCUUUAUGGAGGAAGGUAAGAUUAUAAGAAGACUACUCCAAUGCUUCUGUUACGUAAGUUUAAAAUAUGAUGCAUUUAGAUCAUGUUUUGGGUCAAAGUACUCAGCUAGGCUAGUUGCAAUAACCACCCUGUAGUUUAGUACUUUACACUACCUCCAUUUCACUUUUGCUCUAUUUAGUUAUAUUAUGCAACUGUAACAUCACAUUAUGAGUUGUAUUCACGUGCUGGUGAUUUGAUUGACAGGUUAUUCCUCAUGUUGAAACGUUUCCCUAUUGAGUCAAAAGGGAGGCAACAAAAACUGAGUGAGGUUGGCAGAGUGGCUGCUAUUUGUUCCUGUUGUUUUUUGGCACGAUGUGUGAUGGUAGGAUGUCUCUUCUCUAAUCCUUGAAUGAGAUUCCAAGUCAUGUAGUUCACUUCUCACUUUUGGUAGUCCAAUUUUGUUUUUUCUACAGAUGUGUUUCAAUGCCUUUGAUAAAGAAGCUGACCUCGAUGUUCUUGACCAUCCAAUUCUAAAUUUCGUCUAUUACUUGGUAUGUGUGACUUGUGCAACCCAUAGUCACCUCCUUAUAUCUAAACUGGAAUUGUCUUUCCCAGUUUGGUAACUAGAAACUGAUGUCUAUUUAUACCUUUUGUUGCAGCUUGUGGAAAUUCUUCCUUCAUCUCUUGUCCUGUACAUUCUGAGGAGAAUCCCUUCCAAGCUACGGCUCUCACAGUACCAUCCCCUCAGCAGCGGCUAGAGAAAAGCACAUCCUGAGGUGAGCUGAAACAUGGAGAUGGUGCUGCAUUCAUACCUGAUUGCAGCCCCAAGACUCAAGAAAGGUUGGCCUACAGUCUGAUCGUUAACCCUUGUUCUUUUUUUGACUGAAAACAGUAGGAGAGGCUCCUACGAUCGUUAACCCUUGUUCAAAAUGUGCACAGUUAGGGAUCUGGAAUCUACAUGUAACCUGACCUCCUGCAGCUAACCUUGGAACAUCAAUGCGCUAAUUUCAUGUAAUUAAUUCGUUCUUAUUACUAUUAGGAAUCAAGCAUCUUGGCUUCUUUACCAGGCAAAAUUUGUCGUGAAGCAAUCUUUGUAUAACUGAAAAUCUGGGGUCAUAGACGAUGGACCACAGGCAAACCUUCUGUGUUUUGACGGAAAUCUUUGUCUUCUUUAAGUAAAAAUCCGAGCCGACUAUUGUACUUUACCAUCUACAGUACAAGUUGUACUGUUGUCAUAAAAAAAGCCUGCAGGAAAAAAUAUAUUAAAUCUUUGUUAAAUUCAAAAUGUUAAAGCAAGGGACGCUAGUAAUUCAGAUUCGAAAGGACGACUCACAUGAGUAUCUGAAGGAGAAUAAUACUCCUACUAUAACUAGGAGCCAAAGUAAACAUGAGUAUUUGGUCUGUUAUCGGGUUUUUUUUUGACAGCCGGUCUGUUAUCGUAUUUGCUGGUAUGCCCAGCCGUUUGCCGUUUGGUCUGUGCAAAUUUAAGCUGGUUUCCCCAGCAGCUACUUGCUCAGUUUGUCUGGUUUGGGCUUUGUACACAAAGCUGGACAUGAGGUGCCUUUUCGUCUAAAAAAAAGCAAACAUGAGACUGCACUUGACAAUUUCAAAACUUGUGAAUGUUCUCUGAUUUUAAAUACCCCUUCCGUUUCAUAUUAAGCGACAAAAUAUUACAUGUAUCUAAACGUAUUUUGGAUAUAAAUACAUUCAUAUUUGAACAAAUUUGAGCAAGCUAAUAUGGAACGGAGGAUUAUUAUGAAAAUGUGUAUGCGUGGCAUACUGGCAUCUGCAGUGUCGGAUCACCCUGUGCAAAACCGAACCGUAAACCGAAAAACCGGAAGAAAAUAACCGUAACCGAACUGAAAGUUCGGUUUUCUCGGUUUUCGGUUCCGGUUCCGGUUCCGGGUAGCCAAACUGCUAACCGUAUGGGUUUCGGUUAAACCGAAAAAACCCGAAACUCAGACUCCCCUCGUUCGUUCCACGCGCGCCACGCCCCCACGAACCGGCCAGGCGAGCCCAGCCCAACUUCCAACCGGCCCAUCUAACCUCCUAGCGCCUGCCUUGACCUAAUCCACUCGACGCACGCUCCGCGCCCGCGCCUCCGCUCUUCCCGACGGCCUCCACUCCCGUCGUUCCCCUCGCCUCGAGAGGUCGAGCCGCCGCCGCUACCAGCCCACUCCGGCACUCCCUCUCUCCCACCGAGCCGCCGCCAGCCCACUCCUUCUCUACCAGCAGGCAGCAGGCAGCGCCAGACGCCGUUGGCCGCCAGCUCACUCCCUUUCCUUCGAUGCGCCUUCGCUCACCUCGUCCCAAGCGCUACUCCUCCUCUCCUCCCGCCGCGCCGGGAUCUCCCAAGCUCUAGCCGCGCUAGCCUCGGACCCCUCCUACAAGACAGUGCUCGAGUCGCCCUGGGCCACGUCGGGCAAUUACUUGUGCCCGCACUCACCGACAUGCCGCUGUUCUACAAGACAAUGCUCGAGUCGCCUCGUCGUCAGCUGUUCGGUGGCAUUCCAGACCCUGACGAGGAGACACAGUUGUGGAGAGAACACUGAGAUCGGCGUGAGGCUACCCUGGUGAAUCGAGCUGUUGUGUUCUUAAUUGAUGAACCAACGGAGGAAUCGGCCACAAAAUAAAGCCAUCCACCGCAUCUGAGCCAGGACAUCUUUGAUUUCCUGCCGCCAGACGCAUCGAGCUGCUGCAUGCAGCAAGACUUCAAUUAAUUGUACAAUCUACAUGCUCGGUUCUUUGAUCGUUUGAUCUUGCGUUAGCCCAGUGCUCAUGUGGUGAUUCACUCCAGUGAAAUCAGAAAAAGGAAUUUAGGAAGGAGGCGUUUCUAGUGAGGUUCUAAUAGAAACAUGUUUAUGUAUUUGCGCUUUAUGGCUAUCAAAACGUACACAUCUGCUCUCAGGCAUUUCUCAGCCCAGGUCACUAACCAAACACCCCAUGUACAUGUAUGCCUGGUCAGGUAAAAACAUACAAAUUUUCAGGAAGCUCUCAAGCAUUGCUUCAGAAGAGUUCAUGCCAAAAUUUCAAUUUUCUUCUUUAUUAUGAGUUGUCAGAUUGUUGAAACAUGUGUAUAAAAAUUUACGUGUCGCUCAAAAAUUCUCGUCAAUUUGGGUUAAUUUGGUUAUAACCGAAACCGAACCAAAAUAAAUGGUUAUAACCGAAACCGAACCAAAAUAAAUGGUUAACCGAACCGAACCGUAGUUUCGUACAAAACCGUAUAAACUGAAAUAUACAAACCGUAUAAACCGUGUUAACCGAACCGAUCUAAAAACCGAACGCACACCUCUGUCGGAGGCUCUGUUGCCACCUACCGCUCCCGAACGGUACCAACUAAAGAAAUUCAAUUCUUUUUCUCCACCAAACCAAACUCGUGCACCAAACUCCGUCGAUGUGUCUCUGCCUCCAAACUCAAACCUUGGUAAUCUCCGCGCCUCAAACCCUAGCCGCCGCCAUGGCCUUCCUCGCCGGCGCAUCAUCCAUCGGUAGCCCCUUCGCCCUCGCCUUCUCCUCACAUCGCCGGAAUGAUCUUCCCAUGGCCGUCAAAGCCACCGCCAGCUCGAACUCGGUUUCAACCCACCCCUUUAUCUCCUCCCUCCGCCUCGCCGCCUCCGCCGCGGUCCUCCUCGCGGCUACCUCCCCGGCCAUCGCGUGCACCCCCUCGCCGCCUCCCCCUCCCCCCGCGCUAACCGUAACGGUCUCACCCGAGGACGCCAUCCCCGGCGACUGCCACCCCUUCGAGAAGCUCAUCAUUGAGACCGCCGCCCUCUCCCGUUUCGGCGAUGCGGAGGCCGCGAGGUCCCGCCUCUCCGCCGCCGGGGGCGGCGAGCACUACGCCCGCCUCUUCGCGGCGCAGACGCUCUUUGUGGACGGAAAGGUGGAGGAGGCGAUCGCGGCCUUCGAGGAGCUCGCGCGGGAGGACCCCGGCGACUACCGCCCCCUGUUCUGCCAGGGCGUGCUGUAUUCUAUGCUGGGCAGGGAGACGGAAUCGGAUUCGAUUCUCGAGCGCUGCCGGCUGAUCGCCGGUGACAAAUUCGGCGGCGGUUUUGCAAUGCCGGUCUCGGCUGCCGAGGAGGCGCGACUAGAAGCAGCAGAGUCAGCGGCAGAGAAGACGGAAACGGAGGUCGAAGGGGAAAAGCUGUGACUGGAGUGGACUUUGGAUCCCCAAAUAAGGUACUUCGUAGGCAUUUGGUCUCUUCUUUUUAAAGAAAAGUGUACGAAUAGGGGGGAUAUUCGAAAUAGCAGUGCCUGUUUUGCAUUUCCGAUACGUCGGCCACAAGUAAAGAUAUGCAUUUCACAUGGUCUAAGAAUAAAUUGAAGUGAUCGAUUUUGAGCCUGUUGACGAGUACAGUAGACACCACAAAUUUGGGAGAUGAAUACAGUGCUUAUAAAUCUAUAAGUUAAGUUCUCUGCUUGAAUGUUCUGCAUUAAGAUGAAAUUACUGGAUUAGAAUAACAAGAACAAAAGUUUACAAUGAAGUUUCUGCUAUAGUUUGGCAAGGCACAAUCUACUGUAUAAAAUGGUCAUCUACGUCCUGGGCUUCUCGAGGAGGGCCGAGAGGUACCACUCGUCUAACUCGAUUCCCCUGUCCAGCUUCCUACCAGCAUUCCACCACACCUUGUUGAAACCGACCCGGUUGAACAUGGGCACGUAAGUCGUGUUCAUCUGGUUGCCGAGGCAGAAGAAAUGAUCUAGCCAGAACAAUCCUCCGGGCCUCAACACCCUGUAGAUGUCAAACAAUGUGAACUCGAGGAUCAUAUCUGGGAUCCAGUUGCUGAGUACGUGCAUGGAGUGCACGAUGUCGAGCGUGCCAUCAAAGAAGGGCAGCCGGUGCCCGAUGCUGAGGUAGAUGGGCACAAGGCCCCUUGACGCGAUGAAGCUGUUGAAUGGACCGUCGAAGUUCAUGGACGUGGUCACCACGGUCACCUCACGCUCCCGCAUGCGUGCAGCGAACGUGCCAGACCCGCCACCGAUGUCGAGACCAAUGCGCACAGUACCAUUUGGUCUCGUCGCGAGCACAGCGUCAAUGGAGUAGUCGAGGGCACCGUCACCGUGCAACCAACGGUCCUUCUCCCGACCGCCAAGAAGGUCGAAGCAAUCUUUGCAGUCAUAGUGCCCCUUGGUCUUGCCACGGUUCACCAGGCAGGAGUAGUUCUUGCACGUGUAGGCAUCCCACAGGAUGCUGGUAUCCGGCGGUAUAGUCCACAGGCUUGCUGGCAGCGGCGUUGGCUCGACGUACCCCAACGGGGAACGCGGCCGGCACCGACGCCGUGGCAGGGGCUCGCAGCCCUUGAGCAUGAGCUGCUGCGCAGACCACUCGUCAGAUGGACACUCGCCGAGGGGCUUGUAGUUCAUGUACUGCUCCAGCUCGUCCUGGAAACGGUGGCAUGCUUGCCCCAUCGCCGGGAACAGCUCGUCGGAUCCAAGGUUCCGCGUGAAGCCGAAUGGAAGCUUGUGGGGGCCGACGGCUAGCUUGAGCUCGCCGGUCAGCUUCCGUUGCCAAAACCCUUCGGUUGGCGCUUGCUUCUGCUCAACCUUGGUGGCCGCCAUGUUGCUGGCAUUGGCCCUGUUGCCCAGGAGUGCCUCCACGAGGGUGUUGGCCUUGUCAAGGUGGUCGUGCAGGUGCACGAGCUCGGCAUGGCUCGCUGCGAGCGCAUACUCCAUGAUGUUCAGGUCGCGGAAGGACAGCUUACCGGAGUUCCCGAUGCGGACAGUCCAGUCAUGCUCACCGAGGCAUACGCCGACUGUGGAGCUGCGGCCGGAGAAGAGAAGGACGGAUGCGAUGUUUGUCGCAAGGACAAGGAGCAGUACCAAGGCCCUGGACCUCCAUCUCUUGUGCUGUUGAUCUCUAGGUUUCUUGGAGAUGUCGUAGUCCAUGCUGCGCAUGGUGCAACAAGAAAAUGUGGCCUUUUGGGGGUAGUAUGCACGGUAGAACGAGGGCGAUUUAUAUACCGUUGCUGAGUUCAGAGUCCAGCCUCACUUCACAGCUCACAUAAACAGGGUCUUCGGACGGAAGCUUUUGUGAGGACUGAGUAUUUAACUGAGUAGGAACCUGAUGAGUAUUCCGUUUAAUUGAUGCUUAGAACUGGGGCGUUGCUUAACAACUGAGCAAAGUUACAUGGACUUGAGUAGGAACCUGGGGAUUGAACGGGUGGUGAUUUGAUUGACUAUAGAUGGCGUGCAUCGGUCACUGCAACCCGGCGCUGAAGAUAAGCCCUAUGGGCUGUGGCUCCGGCUCAGCGCUUAUGACACUCGGCUAAAAACUGGCGUAAAAUGCUUAUGCACGCACGGCAUACCCUUACGGCUCGUGGCCUAGAAAUUAACGAUCAACGGAUCAAGUUGUUCAAUUUGUAUUCCAAUUUGCAGCUGAAGUGUACUGCCUUACUUUCUACUCAUUUACAGCGAGGACUAUAACCCAUACUCAGCUACAUGCUGGCGUAAAAAGCACGCAGUCAAAGAGGAUCGGAUUAUAUUAGAUACAAUGGAUGGCAAAUUGAUCACAAAGAAAUUAUGUCCCAUGUCCUCACUGUAGCACCCCAGGCUCGACAAAGGGGCAGGCUAGUUUGUCAUCUUGCAGUUCAAUCGUACGGUGGAGAGGGACGUGGAUUGUUCAAAGUGUCACUACCCUUUAUAAUUUUUUUUAAGAGCCAACCACAACGAGCUAUUUAUUGCCAAUAGAAGGUUGAGAGAAUCAACCCAAAGGGAGUACACAAAACACGGAAAAGAAGUACGAGAGGGGGGGGGGGGGGGGUAGAGUUCAACCAAGGUAAACCAAGCUAUCUACGAAACAUCAUCAUCUCCAGAAACCAACUCGCCAAGCCUGGCCCCCGCGCGAUUCCACAGAGCAGCCUCCCCCUUGAUAAGAAGCAACACUACCCCUUAUACUUGACAACUCAUUCGGGCGGACCCAUCGGUGGUGAAGGCCAUCACUGACGAAUUUGUAAAGACUUGUCAGACCCGCCAGCGAUGACUUGGCAAGUCAACCUUGGGUCCAUUGUCGAUCGAGUCACCACUGAAGCCUCUAAUUAGGGACCCUUCAGUGGUGACUUUCGGCCACUCUGCCAGUGUCACCACUAGCGGGUUAAGUAUAAGACCUGUCAGUGCUGACUUUUUCACAAAUCUCAUUCCAGCAGUCCAGAACAGUACUGCGCACGAAAACAAUUUUUCCAGGUGCAUUGAGUGCUUUCUGGGUCCCUAGCUGCGGCCUCUGGGCACCGUGGAUCUCGUCCCUGUCCGGGCCUCUCUCCCACACCCUUCACGCGCGAGGCCUCCUCCUUGAUCUCAUCCUCCCAAGCCUCCUUGAUCUCAUCCUCCCAAGAUCCACCUCCCUCUCCACCAAGAUCUAGAUAUAUAUCUCAUCCUCCCACAUUCACCAAAAUCCACUCGAUCUAGUUAUUAAUCUCCCUCCUAUCUCAUUCACCAAGGUCUCCACGAUCUAGGUCUCUUCCUCCUGCUAUAAUUUGGCCACUUUUUUAGUUAAAUUUUUACCAGGCCUUCGUAUAGCAUUAAUGGUGAGUAGUGUGAAUUAAAAUCAAGCUCUAUGUAAAAACAAUAAUUUAUUAUUUUGUAGAGGCUUUAGCAGGAAAAUAAUACUUAAAAAAUGUCAAAAAAAAUUAAAUCCUUAUGUAUGGUGUCGUAUUAUGGGUAUAUAUAGUCUUGGGAUGAACAGGAUGAGUUAAUACACAAUUAUAAAAUGGACUAUCUCGAAAGAAGUUUCUGAACUUAGGAUUUAAACCUACAAAUUUGAAAGCUGAACCAACUUUUGUAAUAAUUUGGCCAUUUUUAGAUGAAAUUUUUACUAAGCCUUCAUUUACAUUAAUUACGAGUAAUUGAAUUAACAACCACAGAUUCUAUGUAAAAACAAUUUAUCAUUUUUUGGACCUAUUUAAUAGGAAAAAAGAAUAACACUGGAAAGUUGUCAAAAAAAUGGCAGGUAUGUAAGUUUGGGAUGAAAAGGAUAAGUCAAUACACAAAUUUAAUCCGAGUGACGGCACCAUGGAUAGACCCCCCCCCCCUGCCCCCCGCCCCCAUCUUGUCCCUCUCUCGGCCGGCUUUAUUUUUUUUAAUUUGUAAAAAUAUGCUUGUCGACUUGUUUCGUCGACACUUGGCCAAGAGGGAAGGAGGGGGGAAUAUUGUUUCGCCGUGCACCCUCCUUUGCCCACGGCAAACUUGGCAAAGAAGUUGUUUGCCGAGACGAUUUUGCCAUGGAGGCAACUCGAUAAAAUAAGAAAUCAGGUUGUGGAAGUUUUGAGGAAAUAAGGUAGACACAUCCUCCUAUGUCUUGUUUUUUCGAAAGUAUAUACAAUCAUAUGAAUAGAGGGGUGUUGGGAAUUGCAAUGUUGGUUUUGCAAUUCUGAUAGGUCGGCGACAAGUGAAGGCAUGGAUUUCGCAUGUUGUGGGGAUAGAUUGAGGCGAUCAUGGCAAGGCGAUCUAUUUUGAGCUUGUUAAUGAGUACUCUUGACACUAAUUCAUGGGUUGAAUACAUUGCUUAGAAUUGUGGAAUGAGUACACUACAUCAUUGCAAAAUUGCCGAAGUAGAAUACCCGCAAGUAAUUUAUUCAUUUUUUACUGUGAAAAAAGCACGUUGUAUAGUAUCUCUCUUUGAAAAAAAAACACAUUUUGUAGCAAACGGUGAACUAGGUCUUGGGCUUUUCAAGCAGUGCUGAAAGGUACCACUCGUCCAUCUCGAUCCCCCGAUCCAUCUUCCGCCCGGCGUUCCACCGCACCUUGUUGAAACCGACCCGAUCGAACAUGGGCGCGUACGUCGUGUUCAUCUGCGUGCCGAGGCAGAAGAAGUGGUCGAGCCAGAACAAUCCUCCCGGCCUCAGCACCCUGUGGAUGUCGAACAGCGUGAACUCGAGCAUCGCGUCGGGGAUCCAGUUGCUGAGCACGUGCAUCGAGUGCACGACGUCGAGGGUGCCGUCGAAGAAGGGCAGCCGGUGCGCGACGCUGAGGUGCAUGGACAGGAGGCCCCUGGACGCGAUGAAGUUGUUGAAGGGGGCGUCGAAGUUCAUGGACGUGGUCACGAUGGUCACCCCGCGCUCCCGCAUCCGCGCGGCGAAGGUGCCGGACCCGCCGCCGAUGUCGAGCCCGAUGCGCACCGUGCCGGUAGGCCUCGUGGCCAGCACGGCGUCGAUGGAGUACGCGAGGGCGCCGUCGUCGCUCAGCCACCGGACUUUCUCCCUGCCGCCGGCGCGCAGGUCGAAGCAGUCCUUGCAGUCGUAGUGCCCGCUUAUCUUGCCGCGGUUCUCCAGGCAGGAGUAGUUCUUGCACGUGUACGCGUCCCACACGAUGCUGGUGUCCGGCGGGAGCGCCCACAGGCUCGCCGGCAGCGGCGUCGGGUCGACGUAGCCCUUUGGGGAGCGCGGCCGGCACCGCCGCCGUGGCAGCGGCUCGCAGCCCUUGAGCAUGAGCCGCUGCCCGAACGACUCGUCAGACGGACACUCGCCACCGGGCUCGUAGUUCAUGUACUUCUCGAGCUCUUCCGGGAAACGAUGGCAUGCUUGCCCCAGCGUGGGGAACAGCUCGUCGGAUCCCAGGUUAUGCGUGAAGCCCAAUGGAAGCUUGUGGGGCCCGACGGCUAGCUUGACCUCGCCGGUCAGCCUCCGUCGCCAGAGCUCGUCGGUCGCCAAUAGCUUCUGCUCUUCCUCGGCGCCGGUGGCCACUUCACUGGCAUCGGCCUGUUUGCCCAGGAGUGUCUCCACGAGGGAGUUGGCCUUGGCGAGGCGGUCCUGCAGCUGCACGAGCUCGUCGUGGCUCGCCGAGAGCGCGUACUGCAUGAUGUUGCGGUCUCGGAUCGACAGCACGCCAGAUUUCCAGACGCGGACGUUGGCGGAGCUGCCGCCGGAGAAGAGGAAGGCGGAGGCGGUGGCCGUCACAACGACAAGGAAUAUGACCAGGACCUUGGCCCUGCAGCUCUUGCGCUGCUGAUCUCUACGUUUCUUGGACUUGUCGCAGUCCAUUCUGCUAUCUGCAGAGGAUGGAACCCUUCCAGUAACAACAACAACCAACUAAAGCUCCACAAAGUCGCUACUAGCUUGCAUGCGUCUCUGCACACUAUGGAGGGUACUCACUCCUAUAUAUGAAGCAUGAUGUAAAUGAGAUAGUUUCAAUAAACUUCUGCUAAAUUUGGAUUCCAACCUCAACAUAUAUAGGACCUGUAUAGGGUCGUCUCUCGUUGAUGCUUAGAACUGGGGCAUUGCUUCACAAGUGAGUAAAGUAGACGAGCUAGCUCGACCGCUCCAGUAGGAAUCUCGUGAUUCAACGGCUGGUGAUUGGAUUAGACUUUCGGGCUGCAUAGGUCACUGCAAUCCGGUGCUCAAGAUGAGCCUAUGAGUUUUGACUUACAGUUAUGAUAUUUCCGUGACAACUUUGCACGGCAUUUGCCCUUGCAGUUCGUCGCCUAGAGAUUGACGAUCAACUUGUUACAUUUAUUUCCACUUUGUAGCUGCAAAGUGUAGUCUCUACUCAUUUACAGUCAGGACUAUAUAGACCAUACUCAGCUAGCGUAAAAGGGAAACAAUCAAAGAUAGUCAGGAUACAAACAACAAACGUAAAUGCGAAAAUGGUAAAUGGUUCGUCAAAACUCGAAGAAUUAUGUACCGUGUUCUCAUUGUUGCAACCGAAAGCUUUUAUGCAUGCUUGCUUAGUGUAAUGCCAGUGUAUACUGAAGUUAAUUAACGAAGAUAGAGAGGGACGUUGUAGUCAGAUUUGGAUGCUGUCAUAGCUCAAGCGGUAGCUUUGUUUCUCAGCUACCUCUGUAGCUUUUUCUCCCCGUGUUAAGCACUGCCUGUUGUAUUUUACUGCCUUGUGCUACGUGUAAAUUUCGUGCUUUCCGUUCGAUGGAUUGCCUGACGGAAGCUGUAUUUUUAUGCGAACAAAGCGGCAUGGAAAUUGAGAUUGCAAGCACCUGAUCACUUUAGGAAUUAAUCACAUCAAACGCUUUUAGCUAGUUUAGUAUUUCUAGAUAAAAAUAGCAAGGAUGCUAGAGGAUGCCUCUCCUUCACUUAUUACCCUCGCAUCGCUCCCAAUGGGCAAUGAGGGCGGAACCCUAGCUCCUCGACACUGCUGCCCAAUCACUCGUCUCCUCCCCAUGCCGCCGCUAGAGAGCGCCUUGGGCAAAGCUCAAUUCGGGUCGGAGACGCCACGAGGGUAGGACGUCCCUUGGCAUGGCUUUUGUGGGGAUCUAGCAUGGUGACAUGGUGCGAUAGUGAUGUGCACAGUGGUCGUGGUCCUGGGUAAGCACGGAGUAUUAUGUCCUCCAUUUUUUCCCUCGCCGCCGCCUAUAGUCACGCCAAGCAAAGCACACGUGGCGUGGUUGAUGCAGCGGCAUGGUCUUCUUUAGGCUGAUUGGGGACGGGAUUCGUGUCGAGUCCCGCGUGGAUGCAUGUCGCAGUCAUGGCAGCUUGUGGCGUCUCUAGGGGCCGGGCUGUGUUUGGCGGUGUCACAGGCUGCUAUGAGGCGGUGGUAGCCGUGUGCAUUCGAUUCAAGCCAUCGAAGCGACACUCCCCACUUGUUGCCAUCGGCGGCAGCAGCAGGAUAGUCCUCCAAUGGAGGUAGUUGGCUCAGUCGGCCUCUGCUUAUUAUGUGGCAAUGAUGGCGGUUGUGCUUUCAUUGAUGAGGCUCGAGUGUCUCAUCCAUGCCAUGCCGACCAUGAGUAAAUUUGGAUCAAUGGAUCCCGAUGGACGAUCGUAAUGUGUACUUCUCUCCCCUUGCAUAGGUGGGGGACAGGGGAGCCAAUGAUAUGGUCCAAUCUGAGUUUGAUUUUGGCAGGAUUGGUGGACGCUAGAACUGAGUUCUAGAGGUGACCAUAGGUGAUUAAUUUUGGAGGACACCAUGGUGGUUUCAAGCAGAGUCAUGGAUUGUGCAGUCAAUGACGACUUGAUCGGCGUUUUCAUGUUUUGGGUGAAAACCCUCGAUGUGGCUUUCACUAGUUUGCCACGCAACGACACACUUUUCUCGUUAUGUUGUCGAAGACGUCGUAUUUGUGCAAAUGAUCUCGCAUUUAUUGGUGGGACCCAACGUCUUGGAUGAAAAUCCAUGGCCUUUUUUUGACUGGCUGGUUUGCCACGCAACGACACACGUUCCUCAUUAUCUUGUUGAGGACGUCGUAUUUGUGCAAAUGAUCUCGCAUUUAUUGGUUGGACCCAACAUCUUGGAUGAAAAUCCAUGGCCUUUUUUUGACUGGCUGGGUACAGGUAACAACGGUAUGCGAUAUAUUUCUUGAAUGCAACACUUUGGAACAAUUGUGACUUAAUUAGUUGCAACUUUUUUUGCCAUCAUUAAUUAUUCAUCAUUUAAUGUACUUAGCUUGUAAGCUUAUGCUUUGGCAGUGUUGUAUGGAAUCUUCUUUGAUAAAGUUUGGUUGUAUAAGUCCAAUGACACAGAAGCCAAAAGGUUUGACCUUAUUACUUUUCAAAAAAAAAAGGAAGAUACAACUAGAUACAGUGCCAAUGGUGUGGCGUUAGGAGGUGACGUGGGUGAUGAUAGAGGCGGCUUCGACGACGCGCACUCCGGAGGAAACACUUGAUCUUUGAUCAGGCAAUGUCGAAGUGUGUUUGCGUCGUGUCCUUGUUGAAGGUGGUGGCUUGAAACUCGUCUCUGGGGAAAACCCCCAGUUCGAGCUACGGUUGGCCUCAUCAUCAUCGGCGUUCGUGAGACUUUUUUUUCUUCAGAUUUGUCUAGGAGUUUCGGUCUCUUUUAUACGGUUAGUGGUAGUCCGGUGGAAUCCCUGCCGUGAGGCAUUUGGCGUCCAGUUUUUCUUUUUUCUUGCGUUGAUUUUUUUGGCGUCGGCACCUGCUUUUGUCCGGGUUUAAUAAUAUAUGACAAUGUGCAUGCGUCCAGUUUUUCUUUUUUCUUGCAUUGAUUUCUUUGACGUCGGCACCUGUCUUUGUCCGGGUUUAAUAAUGUAUGACAGUGUGCAUCAAUCGAUACAGAGAUCGGAGUUUAUAUUUUUUUCCGAAGAAAAAAGAAAGAUAGAGUGCAUGCGACUGGUUUUUCUUUAGUAUACUGAUGUGAUUGAUUAAAGACCCGCCAACUUAGAACAGAACGAGCACAGGCUAAAUGCAUCAGUUUUUUAUGCAGCACUCAGGCCCAAUAAAGUUUUGAGCCCUUGUAAUAUCCUGAUGUCUGGUGCAGAGGAAGUUGCCAUGGCAACGAAGCCAUAAUGCAUCCAUCCUACAUAGGCCGUUGCAGGGCUUGGGCCGUCGACCCGGUAACAUAUAGGGGUACCUGCACGUUAUUAUCAAAAAAAAAAAAUUGUACCUGCUCGUGCAGUACCAGCGGCAGUGCGCCACCUGAUGUCCUGAUCUGAUCAAGUGAUCAGUUACGGAUCAACGAGAGUCCGGAGCCUCGCAGGUUCUCCUCCACGACGGCAUCAAGCCUCGACGCCAUCUCGGGCGUCAAGAGCUCCUUCCAGUCCCCAACCUCCCCCUUCCUGAAGAAGGCCGAGUUCUUGAACGUCCACCCUGAUCCCCCGUGCUCGCCGUCGCGGUUGGCCUCCACGCUCUUCAUCCGGUCCAUGCCGCACAGCGACACGACGGCCUCGGGGACGCGCUGGGUCACCUCGUCGUCGGUGAAAGGGACGCCGAGGAACUGCGCCAUCCGCUUGACGCUCCCCACGGUGUCCUCCUUGAGCUGCUCGUACCGGAGGAACAUGACCUCCUCCGGCCGCGCCACGCUCUCCUUCCAGUACUCGGCCAUGUGGUCCCACACGGGCCCGAACGCCGACACGCCGUCGCAGUACAGCUCGAAGACCUCCGGGAACGGCGCCAGGGAGGAGCCCGGCACGGCCGGGUGCUUGGCGGCCUUCGCGAUGUAGUGCCAGAAGGAGACGAGCGCGUCCUUGGGGUCCCUGCACAGGUACACGACGCGGCACCUCGACGCGGCCACGGACGCGUUCAUGAGCGACAAGGGCGCGUGCACGGCCAGGGUGCGAGGCGACGGCAUCGCGUCGAUGAGGCGCGUGGGAUGGCUGCUGUUUUGGUAGAGGGAGUGCAGGAACGGGACGAGGUCGUGCGGGCUGGACAAGAGCAGCGGGUGGCGCCGAUCACGCGGCGCGUGCCGGCCGCGGUGGACGACGGCGUAGACGAGGGCCUUGAGCCACGUCGUGCCGGCCUUGGGCAUGGUGGCCAGGACGACGUCGGUCGGGCGCGCGACGAACGUGUCGCGCAUGGCCAGCGUCGGCGCCAUCAGGUGCGCCGGGUACAAGAAGUUGUUGAACUUCCUGUACGGAGAGGUCCCGAGGCCUCGGCACGUCGGGAAGGAGGAGGCGAGCACCUCGUACCUCGCCAGGCCGUCUGCCGCGCCGUUCUGCUCGCCCAUUUGCUCCUCUCUCGGUGGUGCGAGCUGGUGUUUGCCUGCUGCACUCUCGUUAAUGGCACGUUAUAUAGCAAAAGAAGGUGAGAGCCUGCCCAGCUGCUCUUCUUCCUCGUGAACUGUCUCCACCCCGGUACGGAGUAGGUUGAAAAUAUUGCAACAAAUGCUCUUACCGAUAAGAAUAGAAAAAAGGGAAUUAAAAGGUUAAGCCAACUUGUCAAAUACAAACAAACUAGGUGUGUGCCGCGUGGGAAAGCAACGUAGUUCUGGUUGUUAUUUUAUUUUACUACUCUGAAAAUCAUCAUUUACGCCCCAUUCGGUUUGCAGGAUUUCUAAAUGAUAGGAAUAGGAAAAGUAUAGAAAUAGAAUGCCCAAACUAGUCUAAUCCUAUGGAAAGCAAAUCCCCAGGAAUUAUAGAUAGAGAGCAUUCGGUUGUACAAAUUUGCAACAUAUAUAGGAAAGGUUCAGGAUUCACUAGCCGCCAAUACACUCAUUUAAUUGACUCAACUAGCCAUUAGUAGCUUUCAAAGUGUGCAUAAAUAGCCUUGUUAUGUCCACUUCCAUCAUCUUUCUAGUUGCUCUGGAUCACCUCUCUUCUUCUCCUCAAUCUCGUCAUUUUCUGAAGAAGUUUUGCUCCUGAACAAGCCAACACAGCAGGGUCUUGUUGCUCAUAGUUCCGAGGAUUAGCAUUCUGUAAUAAGACAAAAUUAUUCUUUUCAACCAAAAUAAUCACCACGACAGCUUGCUAAUCUUCUUCAUCUGCACUUAGGCAGCACACAUUGAUGCAACAGAUUAAUUUCUCUGGAUUGAAAUCGCUAGUUAGUUAGUAUAUUAGUAUAUUACUUGUUGAAUUGGUUCUGGCUUUGGAAUCGUGGUUUGGUUGUAUCUAACCAUCUACUAAUGUCCAAUCCAACUAAUCACGAUUACUUGAGAAAGAUUAAUAGGUAGAGUCAAGUACUAGCACUACUCUUCUACCAGAAGUGCAGCAAUCCAAGUUAUAACAAACUGACGUCAGGUAACGAACAGAUAUUGCAAACCGCUAUGCUAUGAACAGAGAUCUGCACAAGGUAAAUUGUAACUAACAAUUAGAAGAACAGAUAACCUACGUGGUGCUCUUUGUUGAGUGUAACAACAAAGAUAAUCACUUACCCUAAAAAAUUCAGAUCCAAGCGAGCCAAAAACCACGCAUGACCAAAUCUGCUCGGGAUACGAAGAAAAUAUUGCAGACGUACGAGGAGUAAAUUGCUCUUAAUCUCUCUCAAACCACAUACAUUGAUGCAGCAGACAGAUUUCUUAACACGGCAGACAUACCUGCAAAGAGGAACCACCAGCCAUGCCCAGCCUUGCCGGGUAGCCGCAGACAACAAGGAGCAGGCAGUAUGAAAACGAUAUACUAUGUGUUUUCGAGUCCACAGGCAGUACGAAAAAGUCAUGUUGCACUAAAUUUACUCUAAUGCAUCAGUCCGCACCAGUCCAGAGUGGUUUAUGUUUGUUAAAUCGAGUCGUUUUCCGUCUUGUCUUGAAAAUUGAGCGAUUAGGCCGCUGCUUUCUGCCUUGUGCCCCGCGCGUCCCGUCCACCAUCCUCUCCCGCGCGCGCCCUCUACCCCACCGGAGCGCCGCCGUCGCCGUCGCCGCGCUGCCGCCUGCCGCCCACCGCCGUCGCCCCGCCGCGCCGCCGCCCGCCAUCUCCCUGCAUCGCUGCCGCCCGAUGCCGUUGCCCCGCUGCGCUGCAGCCCGCCCCCGUCGCCACAAUGUACUGCCUCCCGCCGCCGCACACGUGGCGAAGCAAGCCGCUGCUGCUGUUGCUUCGCCUGUCCGGGACCUGAGCCGCCCCAUCCAAAGCAGCAUGCGGCUUCUUCUGUCCCGCCCCGUCCUGGUCGUGCGGAAGGCCUUCACGAGGCGGCGGCUAUGGAAGGCUGGGAGAUCACCGUGGAUGCGGAUAUGGCGUACGCCGACGGGGCCGAGUCCAUUGCGACGGUAGCCCAGCGUCGCUCCGAACAGCACAUGGUUGGGCGCCCGCAACCUGUUCGAUGGUCUGCCCGAACAGACGGAAGUAUUUUUCUUCUACAUCUUUUGGGUCAAAUGUGUAGAUGCGUAGAUGAUGUAUAGAUGCAUGCACCGAUCAAUUGGGAUAGAAAUUUGAAUGAAAUGGCAUGAUCAAUUGGGAUGGAAUAGCACGGAAAUUGAGGAAACCGUGAUGAUCGUUGAACACCCCUAGUCCAGGACAUGUAGUUUUUAGCUGUGGCAAAUAAGAUAACUAAAAACAGUAUUUGCAAGUGUGUUUUAGCAUUGCUGUUGUAUGCGUUUUUCAAAAUUAUAGUAGCACUAAAGAAGGUUCCUUCUAUUCAAUAUCUUUAUGGGGAAAUAGGAUACCCAAAGGAGUGAGUAAAGAUUUCGUUUUAUCAACAACGAAGGUAAUACAAGAAAUAGGAUAGAAUCUUUUAGUACUUCCUGUGGGUCUAAAAAUGUUUUUACCUAUCCGCAUGAAACGGGAAAUACUAUGUUAUUUCCUUUUCUUGGAAUUUUGGGUUAGGCUCAAGGCUCAAUCUGAAAUUAAUUUCUGAAAAAUCUCAAAAGCCCAUUCAUAGAGUGAGAUGAGGAAGUGGGAAUAGUCCCACCUUGCUAGUUUAGAGAGGGUUGGACCAAUAUAUAAGGUAUGUUGAUUCUCACCUCUUGAGCAAGGGAAAUCCCCAUGCGCGCUCCUCCUCCGCCGCCGCGCCGCGCCCGCGCCGCGUUUCGUGGUUCGAGUUCGAGCCAGGGCGGGGUCGUGCUUAUCUUUUUGGCAGUCGGAAUCCGUUGCGGACGCGUAACAAAUCCCGAUAAUUGCGGAGUCGGUUUUGGUUUCGAGUCGGUUUUCGUUUCCUAAACCGAACCGCCGCCUGCGUGCCUAUAUAAUAAGACGACCGCGGCCUCCGGACGUACCACGCCACAACCCUAACCGUCACGCCCACGAUCCAAUCUCGCUGUUCGCCGCCAACUGUUACUCCAUCCCGUCGACUGCGUGCACAGAUCGCUGGGAGAGGAGGCCUACGGAACCCCGACCUUCGAGAUCCUGCCCGGGAGACGGUCGAUAAGGUUUUUGGGGAGAGUUCUCACGCGACUGCUCGCUUCUUCACGUCCCUGUUUCGUUGGCAUCUUCAUCACCAAUGGCCGACGACCUCGGAGAUCCCGCGGCUCAGGCUGCCGCUCUAGCUCCGCAGCAACAGGCUGCCCAACUCCAAGCACAAUGCAGGCUGCUCAACUCCAAGCCCAGGCAACUGCUGCUGCACAGGCGCAAUCGCAGGCGCUGGCCGCUGCCCAGGAGGUAGUCAAGGCUGCUGCUGCUGCCAGCAUGAACAUCGACGCCGCCGGACUCGUCACCGAGCUCAACAAACAAACACAAGAAAAGAGUACAACACCGUACGUAAUUUGCUUUUUCUUGUUAAUUUUGAUUAGUAGUUCUAUUAUUCAUGCCGUGAAAUUAGAUGAGUUUUAUUGCUGUGCGUUGCUAUUUAAUUUGUCUACUUUGCAUGAUAUAAUAUGUUACAUGUUUUACACAUUGUUUUUCUAGAUUAAAUAUUCAUCGAAAUUACCUAAUUAUUCAUCAAUCCAAAAACCUUAUUCAUGUAGGCAAGUUUCGAUGUCUCAAUUUGCUGUCGCAUUGAAACCACCUGUGUUUACUGGACUACACUUUAAGAGGUGGCAGUAUAAAUGUCAUAUGUGGCUCGUGGCUAUGGGCGCAUGGUGGGCGGUACAACACGGGAAGACUCAAACAAUUGCUCCUCAGCAGUUGUAUGUUGAGGCUUGUGUUGUAGUCGUCGGUGCGAUCUGUAGUGUGCUGGGAGAUAAGCUCGUUGAUGCUUAUCUGCACUAUCAGGAUGCCAAAGAGUUGUGGGAUGCGCUCGAUGCUAAGUUUGGCGCAUCUGACGCUGGCAGUGAGCUGUACGUCAUGGAGCAGUUCUUUGACUAUAAGAUGGUUUCAAACCGAUCUGUAGUGGAACAAACUCAUGAGUUACUGACUAUGGCUAAGGAACUUGAGCAAUUCAAGUGUCCACUACCCGACAAGUUUGUCACCGGGGGCAUCAUCGCCAAGCUGUCUUCCUCGUGGAGGACUUUGCUACUUCACUAAAACACAAGAGACAAGAAAUCUUUGUGGAGAACCUGAUUGGGACUCUUGAUGUUGAGGAGAAGGCGAGAGCAAAAGAUGCUGCCCCAAAGUCAACACACAAGAGGGUACGUCCACUGCCAACAUGGUUCGGAGGAACAACCACAACAACAGUAACAACAAGGGAAAGGAAAAUGCAUUCAACAAUGCUGAUCCAAAGAACACUACCACUUUCAAGAAGAAGAAGAAGAAAGGAGGCAACAAGGACAAGAAUCCUUGCUUUGUGUGCGGAGGACUCGGCCACUGGGCGAGUAACUGGAAGGAGCGCAAAGGAAGACAGAUUCGGCAAAGUUUGCUAAUUCGACCAUUGGCAACAAUGAAGAUGCAGGCGGGUAUGGUAAUUUAUUUACUGUAUUUUUUGUAUGUUAGUCCACCGAUUGGUGGGUCGAUACAGGUGCAACUAUUCAUGUGUGUGCUGACAUUUCCUUGUUUUCUCCAUAUCAGGCCAUCAGCUCCUCAGUGACGAUGGGGAACAGCGCCCAUGCUUCUGUUCAUGGUGCUGGCACGGUGGAUCUGAAGUUUACUUCGGGAAAGAUCGUGCAGCUGAGGAACGUGCAGCAUGUGCCCUCCAUUCAGAAGAAUCUUGUUAGUGGAUCCCUUCUUUGCAAGGACGGAUUUAAGUUAGUGUUUGAGUCCAAUAAAGUUAUUGUGUCUAAGUAUGGACAAUUUAUUGGUAAAGGUUAUGAGUGCGGAGGUUUGUUCCGCUUAUCCCUUUCGGAUAUUUGUAAUAAGGCCGUGAAAAGCGUCAAUUCUAUUAAUAAUGAGUCUAAUGUUUGGCAUUCACGACUUUGUCACAUUAAUUUUGGUUGCAUGAUGCGAUUAGCAAAUCUGAGUUUAAUCCCUAAAAUCACUGUGGCUAAAGGUUCAAAGUGCCAAGCUUGUGUGCAAGUGAAGCAGCCUCGUAAGCCUCACAAGGCUGCUGAGGAGAGGAACCUAGCACCGUUAGAGGUCAUACAUUCUGAUUUUUCUGAGAUGAACGGUGUAUUAACCAAAGGUGGAAAACGUUACUUUAUGACUUUCAUUGAUGAUGCAACUAGAUUCUGUUAUGUGUAUUUAUUAAAAUCAAAGGAUGACGCAUUGCAUUAUUUUAAGAUCUAUAAAACUGAAGUUGAGAUCAACUUGAGAAGAAAAUUAAACGUUUGCGGUCUGACCGCGGUGGAGAAUAUUUCUCCAAUGAGUUUAAUUCAUUUUGUGAGGAACAUGGCAUAAUUCAUGAGAGAACGCCUCCCUAUUCGCCCCAGUCAAACGGGGUUGUUGAGAGGAAAAACCACACGCUGACUGACUUGGUCAACGCUAUGUUAGACACUGCUGGUUUAUCCGAGGCAUGGUGGGGGGAGGCGCUAUUGACUUCGUGUCAUGUCCUAAAUCGUGUUCCAACAAAAGAUAAAGAAGUCACCCCAUACGAGCUAUGGAAAAGAAGAGACUCACACUUUCUUACUAACAGAUUUGGGGUUGUUUGGUGAAAGUCAAUGUGCCAAUUACCAAGAAACGUAAUCUUGGACCAAAAACCGUUGAUUGUGUCUUUCUUGGCUACGCACUUCGGAGUGUUGGCUAUAGAUUCUUGGUUGUAAAUUCUGGAGUACCUGACAUGAGCGUCGGUACAAUUAUGGAGUCCAGGGAUGCUACAUUCUUUGAGGGCACAAUGAGCUAUGGUAUACACUAUACUGGGUACCCCAAGGUACUUGAGGGUUAUAGUGAUUCAAACUGGAUAUCUGAUGUUGAUGAGCUAAAUGCCAUGAGUGGAUAUGUGUUCACACUCAGAGGGGCCGCUGUUUCAUGGAAGUCUUGCAAGCAAAUGAUCUUAACCAGAUCAACAAUGGAAGCAGAACUUUCAGCAUUAAAUACAUCCACGGUUGAAGCCGACUGGCUUCAUGAGCUCUUGAUGGACUUGCCGAUUGUUGAAAAACCAAUACCGGCGAUUCUUAUGAACUGUGACAAUCAAACUGUGAUAGACAAAAUGAACAGUUCUAAAGAUAACAUGAAGUCAUCAAGACACGCCAGGAGACAUCUGAAAUCUGUCAGAGCAAUGAGAAAUUCCGGAAUAAUAGCAUUGGGAGAUAUCCCAACGGCUAAAAAUAUGGCAGAUCCCUUUACAAAGGGUCUAUCAACGAAUGUGAUAAAAUCUGCAACAAGGGAGAUGGGGUUGCGACCCACGUGAGUUAUCAUUGCGGUAAAUCAACCUAUGUGAUCGGAGAUCCCGUGAAUUAGGACCUGGGAAACAAGUCAUUGGAUAACUGAGGAGAGUGUACAUUCUUUAUCCCACUCCGUUGACGAUGCAUUACUCUCGUGUACUAUAUGGUAGGUUGUUUAACUUAAUGUGUUCUAACGUGUUGAAUUAAAUUGCAAGGGAGAUACUGUCUAUAUGAGCCUGACUGUUGGUUGCAGUCUAUGAGAUUUGGGUGCUCUCUAGUAAGCUCAUGAAAAGGCCUGAAGAAUGACUUAUAUGCUCCACACCGCGGGGUAGCAUUCGGCAGCACAGUACCAGACAACAAUUUAGUGAAGGUCUAACACAGAAAACUAACAAUUCAAGGUUUGUCCAUUGUUCAGUUGUGCGUGAGCGAAGCUAUUUGUUUAGGUGGAUGUUCAAGCUUAACCGGUCUUCACUGAAACGCUGGUAUAUCAAAAACAGAGUUUUGGAUCAAUGGCAAUUUUAUGUGCUUAUGAGAUAUUGUGGGGGAUAAUUGCGGAGUCGGUUUUGGUUUCCUAAACCGAACCGCCGCCUGCAUGCCUAUAUAAUAAGACGACCGCGGCCUCCGGACGUACCACGCCACAACCCUUGCCGUCGCCCACGAUCCAAUCUCGUUGUUCGCCGCCAACGUCUACUCCAUCUAGUCGACUGCGUGCACAGAUCGCCGACGACCGCGGCCUCCGGACGUACCACGCCACAACCCUAGCCGUCACGCCCACGAUCCAAUCUCGCUGUUCGUCGCCAACUGCUACUCCAUCCCGUUGACUGCGUGUACAGAUCGCCGGGAGAGCAGGCCUCCGGAACCCCGACCUUCGAGAUCCUGUCCGGGAGACGGUCGAUAAGGUUUUUGGGGAGCGUUAUCACGCGACUGCUCGCUUCUUCACGUCCCUGUUUCGUCGGCAUCUUCAUCACCAAUGGCCGACGACCUCGGAGAUCCCGCGGCUCAGGCUGCCGCUCUAGCUCCGCAGCAGCAGGCUGCCCAACUCCAAGCCCAAGCAACUGCUGCUGCACAGGCGCAAUCGCAGACGCUGGCCGCUGGCCAGGAGGUAGUCAAGGCUGCUGCUGCUGUCGGCGUGAACAUCGACGCCGCCGGACUUGUCACCGACCUCAACAAACAAACACAAGAAAAGAGUACAACACCGUACCAAAGGAUUGAUCUAUUAGAGUUGAUCCCAUCCUGAAAUACUUAUCACAUGCUAAUAAUCAAACUAAUUAUGGUUGUGUGCAUCGAUUGAUGCAGAGGCCAGGGAGUCUUCCCCUUUCCGAAAAAAAAAAUCAAACUAAUCAGCCCAAACUAGUGUUUGCAGCAGAACUGUAGAACGCAAUUCCACGAGAAAUGCUAGUACGUAGAUUCUACUGCACUUAAGAGGCCGUUAUCUCGGAGGCUGCUGCCCCUGCCAUCCUCUGCUCGGAUGACUCGCCGAUCACCCAUUCCGUUGUUCCCACCGGUGAAGAGCCGGUGUUCAUGUGUGAGCUCACGGGGCUCCCGCGGCCCAUGGCGUUUUCCUCCUCCCCGGCCAUCGGCAUCUGGCUCACAUCACCACGGCCAUUCCUUGAGCCCUCAGCGAUCCGUCUCGGCGUUUGGCCCGCGAAUUCGCUGCCGUUCCUCAGGGACUCGUCGUUCGAUGUCUUGAACGUGCGUGACUUGAGGUCCUUCUCCUUCCUGUCGUAGUGCUGCAGCCACGCACACAUCCUCCGAAUUAACGCGCUCCGGUAGCCAAAGUGACCGGCGGCCUCGGCCUGCGCCUCCACGACCCGGACCUCCCCGCGCUCACGGUAUGCGAAGGUGGCGAGGUAGAGCAGCAGCGUGAGGCUGGACACCAGGCCCGUGAUGAGGAACAGCCCGCCGAAGCUCUCGAAGCUGAGGUUGGACGAGCUAGAGGAGCCGACAGCGGCGGCACUGCUGCUGCUGCCCCGGCAAGCACCGUCUUCCGGCUCCCCAAACCACGCCUUCUCGAUCCGCGCCAUCUUGUCCCCCUCGGCCAGCCUCAGUAUCUCCCUCGACACGUCCGCCACCAUGGGCGAGGCCCUCGGGAACACGAACCCGAACCCGUCCGUCUUGUACACGGGCCCCACCAUCAUGUACCCGUCGCAGUACUGCGACAGGAAGAGCUUCAGGUAAGGGAUCUCGUCGAACACGGCGGCCACCCCGCCGUUCGCCGACCCCCUGGACAGCGCCUCUGCGUACUGCCCCUCCGUGCUGUACUUCUUCAUCCUCCGCUCGUCGAAGCCCAUCUUCUUGAGCAAGGGCUCGAUGAAGGUGCCCUCCUGGUACCCGAUGUAGUGCCCCCGCCUCUGCAGCUCCCUCACGUCCGUCACCAUCGGCUGGAGUUUUUGGACCGUCAGCAUUGAUGUCAGGCUCGCCGUGUAGCUCGAUGUCAGGAUUAGCACCACGAACACCCAUACGAUCACCACCAACCUGGACAGGUUGUUCACCAGCUUCUCCUCUGCAAAACCAUUCAUUAAUUCGACCGUUCAAGAAUGGAAAUUUGGCAGUUCAGAAGAGACAUGCAUGCAUGACUACGUACUGUGUGAGAAGACAAGGGUGGAGAAGGCGAAGUAGAAGAUGAGGCCGAACUGCUGGGUGGGGGUUCCGCGGAACUUGUCGUUGACGCGGUGCUCGAGGACCCAGACGACGAAGCCGGUGAAGCAGAAGAAGGCGAAGCUGGCGAGCCAGAGGCUGGUGGUGAGCGGCUGCAGGAAGACCCACAUGCAGGCCGACCCGGCGUCCUCCCGCACAGCCACGACCAUGGCCCAGCCGGACUCCGUGAACGGCAUCGUGUAGUCCACCCCGUUGUCCAUCCGGCUCGCGGUGAUCGUCACGUCGCCCACCACGACGUCCGCCUCUUCCCGCCGCACCAGGUCCACCAGCUUGUCAUACGAGUCCGAACUGUCCGGGAACGGCACAUACCUGUAGGCCACCGGGUACGCCAGGCUCCUCAUCACCUCAUCGAACACGUCGAUGCAAUAACCUGUAAUUCUGGAUGAGUUCUUGGGGUCGACGCCCACGAACUGCUUGAACCCACGCUUCACCGGCACGGCGACCCGGAGCACCGGCAUGCCGUUGUGUGACGCGGGAGUCCAGCCUUUCGGGGUGGACAGCGUGUCGCCAGGCCACAGGAUGUGUUUCAGUUUCAGCAGCUUGCUGCCCGAGGAGGACUCCGGCGGCAUCCAGAGCCCCACCGUCCUGGUGCCUCUCCCGACAACGUUCACCACCUCGUACGCUGCCACCUGCAGCUGCCCGUCAACGAGCUUGAACUUCCCGGCCAUCCCAUCGAACCUCGUGUCCACCAACGCCUUGAGAAGCCUUGCUCCAGUCGCCGACACGCCCACCCAGUCCAGGUCCGGCUGCGGCGGUGUCGGCUGGAACGCCGAUGAGCCGACCGCCUCGUCCGCGGCGGCAGCAAUGGCCCACGCCGUGUCGUACGACCAAAGCCUCAUUACCGUCGACUCAUCAUGGACAACAUGUUCAUCGUCGAGGUCCGGGUUGUCGUGCCGGAACCGCGCCCUGAACCUCGCUGCGAAGUUCCUCACCUCGCGCGUGCGCUUCACCUGAGGCCUGACGCUGACGACGCCCUGCAUGGCCUCGAGGUCCUCCUGGGACAGGCUAUCGACGAAGCUCCCCACCCCGUCAGUGGCGACCCAGACGUAGCCCUCCGACACCAUGCCGGCCUCCCACGCGCGUGCGAACAGCCGCGCCGCGAGGGCGUACCUCGCGUGCACGAUGACCACGCGCGUCGGCGCCGACGCGAGUGCGCGCAGCACGGCGUCGAGGCGGUCGUUGCCGGCGUCAACAGGCAAAGCAGCACGGUGCGUGAUGGCUGCCGCGCUGCCGCUGCCGCCGCUAGCGGAGACGAGCGCGUCCGCGAGCGCCGGUAGAAUGCCGGCGCCGUAAGGCGAGUCCUCAUGCACGACGGCCACCGCGCGCCAGCCGAAUGCGGCAAGGAACGCCGCGAGCGGGAGCGCCUGGAGGGAAUCGUUGGCUGCGGUGCGGAUGAAGAAGGGGGUCUGGGACGGGGACAGCGACGGUGAGGUGGCGGAGUAGGAAAGCACGGGGACGUGGGCCCUGCUGCCCAGGUGGGCCACGAACUCGGCUUCCGACGAGGUCUGGGGCCCGAUGAUGGCCUGCACCUGCGCGUUCUUGAUCAGGUCCACCGCUGCAAUCGCAGGAAGAGUUAGAAAGCUGGGCAGUUGGAUUCUCUGGUUCGUUAAGGGCCCAAGAAAGAAGACAAUUGACUCAUUUUGUUGUUAAAAACUACAGCAAUUGAUGUGUCAUGUGUGAGCGAAGGAGAGAGGGAAAGCUUAAGUACCGGCGGAGGCGGCGCCGACGACGUCCCCGGAGGAGUCCCUGAAAUGGAGCUCCACCUUGGCGGGCGAACCGGGGUGCGCCGCGUAGUAGUCCUCCACGGCCAUCUCAAUGCCCGUCCGCCGCCUCCGCGACACUGGCGACGCCCAGUUCAGUAUCACCCCGACGCGGACAGGCACCGGCACCGGAGCGCCCUCCUGCGCCGCGGCCACCACAUGCAGGCUCCCUUGCUGCUGCCCGACCACCGAGGACACAAGGAAGCAGAAGAGCGGGACGAAGAGAGAAGAAGAGGACGUCCCCGGAUGCUUCCCCAUGAUCAUCAGUCAGUAUGUGCGUGCUUAUCAGUGCUACUGCUGCAUCGAUCGGUCAGAGCCCGGCUGCUCUAAGCUCGGUUUGGAUGGUGUGCUCGUGCGUGAAUGAUCUGAGCUAAGCGGAGAAACCUGAGAUACUAGUUAUAGGAAGUUUAGCCCGCAUCCGGACGCGCUGCCUUAUCGUAGUUUAUAUGCGAUCCAUGGAAUGCGGCCGGCAUCUCUGCCUCACACAUGCACGCCACGCCACGCACCCAUCGAGAGUUGCUGCGAACCUCGGUCGAUCUGGUUAAUUCAUCGUUAUCUGCGACGCAGACUGAUCGAUGUACCGGAAACUUUGUAUUUUUGCUCGUGGGCUCUUCGACUUACCUGGCUGCGUUACGGCCUGUGGCUGUGGGGUAGCAGGAGCGGUACAAGACGACAGGUGAAUGGCACUCCAUCAGGAUCAGGUCCCAGAGUCGGUCGUACGUCCUCUAACCGCAAGUUUUUAUUUUCAGGCACCAAUGAUGGUGAGAAGUUUGUCCAUCCAAACAUUCAAAACAAAAAGGUUCAAACAAAUUUGUCCAUCCAAUUAGUGGAGUAUUCAUCAUCUUAGGGCUCAUUUGGUUACCGGUAAAAAUACAAUAUUCCCUCGAAACGGCCGGACUCAUCUUAAACUCCGCGCGCGAUAUUUUUCUUUUGGGAUCAACCGUUCUGUUUUUCUACAGCGUGUACAGAGGACGAGACAGUAUAACGGACAAGGCUUGGAUUACUUUUCCUGCUCUUCAGGAAGAUUGUCGGUCCGUCAGUCCGGCUGUCCGCUGCGCUUGCGUAUUUUACUGUUAAGCUUGGCAAUUUGGACGCUGCUACCUCUGUUAAGGACUUACGGAGCUGCUUCGUUACGCACGGCAGCUGACUAAACAGUCAACAACACGGCUCCGGCCUCACGCGUUAGCGAAUGCGUGUGUCAGUCAAGUCGCGUCCCUCUGUUACUAAUUCGAAUCUAGUGACUGUUAAUGACACAGUUCCGUAUCCAGAAAUUGGGGUGGUAAGAAAUGUGUUUCAGCAACUACUCCGGCAUGCCUGGACGAGCCAGAUAAUUAUACCACGAUAUUCACUUCAUUUGGUGUUUCAGCAACUGAAAAUUCACGGGCAUAGUUGCAUGACCAUCGAACAAAGAUAAUCUUUGAUGAUAGAGCAGUUUAAAACUUUAAAUAGCUAAUUAUGGUUUUCAGACAAUCCCAAGAGUUUUUCCAUCAGUACAAGCAUAGUAGUCCUACUAAGAAAGGAUUGCUUGCAAACAUACGCCUCCGCCACAAGCAUUCUCUAGCAAAGCAGGCGCUGCUUGGCUGGUAAUUUCUCAGCUCGUACGUGCGCCUUCGACGACCAGAGAACAAAGCCAUGUCGGCGGUCGGCAGCAUCCAACUCCAUCGAGAUUUUCAUGUGUACCUCGCCCUGGAUUUCUGCGGCGAAGAAAACAAGAUCUGUAAGUGAAAAAUCGCAUGCUGUGAAAAUGAUAGGAUCGAUCUCGUGUCUCGUCCUAUGGAAAUCAUGAGCGAUUUUUAUACCCCAGAGCGUGACCCGCCGCCUAUACGGAGGGCACCCAUUUCCAUAUUGAGCACAUUCUCUACUUCAUCCAGCUCGAUGACGGCCUUGAUGAUAGCGCGCGAGAGGUCGUUGUCGUCGUUGGCGUUGAAGAAGCAGCCUCUGUCCUUCGCAUCCGCCACAAUCUUCUGCCAGAUCGUCUUGCUGCUCACCAAUGUAGUCGCGUUGCCUAGGAUCCAGAGGCAGUGCCUGCGAAACACGCACAACACAACACAAAAUUAACAAUCACGCACUUCACCAAGAUAGAACAAACCAGCCGGGAGGGAGUGGGAGAAUGGACUCACUUGGCCCUCGUCAGCGCGACGUUGGUGCGGUUCACGUUGUUGAGGAAGCCGACGGACCCGGCGGCGUUGCUCCGCACGGUGGAGAUGAUGAUGAUGUCCUCCUCGGCGCCCUGGAACCCGUCCACGGACCGGACCUUCACGGAGAACUCCCCGGGGCGCACCUCGUACGUUUUGCCGAGCUUCUCCUGGAUGGCGCGCACCUGGCCCUUGUACGGCGACACCACGCCCACGCUGAGCUUCCUCCUUGUCUCCAUACACUCUGCGUCCACAGCCCAUUCACGAGAGAACGCAGAUUAAAAGGGAAGGGAAACAACAAACUUUGAUCGAUGCAUGUGCUACUCACUGGCGAUGAACUCGCCUGCGUACGUACCUUUGAACAAUCUUUGCACGAUCCGGGUCACCGCGGCCACCUCGAUGGUGUUGACGAGGCUCUUGUCGAACUUGCCGGUGCUCUCCUUUCCACCCUCGAUGUUGAUGAACGAGUAGGACCCGUACAUUGGGCCCGUAAGGUGCUUCCUCUCGUAGUCUCUUUUCAGGACGUUCUCGCCAUCGGUGAUCCUGCUCUCGUAGAAGCUCGACACCGGGAACUUGCUUAUCCCCGGGUGCAUCCUGUACUGCACGUCUAGCAGGUGCUUUGGGUGCCCCAGUGAACUCAGCCUCUCGAAGAGGCUCCUACCGAAGCAGGCGUCCUCACAGACCUGCAAGAGCAAAACGUCGAAUCAACAGAAAUUGUGAAAUCAUAUGUGAUGUGUAACAUUGGCAAGUGUUUUAGAUGAAACAUUGAUGUGGAUACUUUGAAUAAUAUGGAUAUUUAAGUGAUGACAUGUAUCUUGUUUGGACUUAGUGCUUUGCUAGUGGUGUGCUGAUCCAUUAGUUUCUUAUGUGAAAACAUGGUGUGAGUUGUGUGAAACUUACCCUGAGUCAAGUCGUGUACUUAUGCUCGUACUGGUUAUUUGUGUGUUCGCUUUCAGGUGUUGUCGGAGGUAGAAGAACGUGGUCGAUGACGGGAUCGAGAGACGAAGCUUGGGAAGCUGAGGUCGAGGAUCAAGGUCAUGCGGGACGUUCGUGCGAAGGAACAAUGGAAGUGAAGACUACGAUGAUCCGGGAGGGCACCGGUUUGUCGUAUGUUGUUUAUGAAGGGGCGCGUAGAGAUAAACAAAAAACUUUUCCUACGCGAACUCCCAAGAUCUAGCCGAGGUAGAAGGCCACGAGGAUUACCACUAGACGCGCAGUUGCGGAUUAUCGAUGCGGCGCCUUGAUGCAGUGCAGUCCCUCGAUCCGAUCCAGCCGAUCCAAUCCCACGAUCGUCGAAGUGCUGAACGUACAGCACCUCUGCCGGUAUCCACACGUGCGAGGAGGAGCUCCGGCGGCGGACUGCUAGGUCCGGUGCGACGGUUGAACUGAAUCGGGUUAGGGUUCUCAACGCAUGAGAGUGGAAAAAACCGUGCCCCUUAGGCAUCCCACGCCCCUGCUUAUAUAUCGAGUGGAAGUGGGCUCCAAGCCUUGUGGCCCAUCCACCCUGCGAGUCCAACUCGCAUUGUCAGCCCAAUUCCAGUUCGGGUCCAACCCGACCAAAUAUUUGCUCCCGCUCUUAAGUGUGUGACCCCGCAGGCUCAUGGCGACUUGGACACGAUUGGAGUCCGACUCACAAUCGAUCAAUCGGUAGCGGCUCCUAGCAGAACGUGCCAACUCCCAAGUACCAUCGAGUCAUGACGACGUACCUUCCAAUGUGACAUACGUCUUAGUCUCUUUUGCCUCACGAUAUACCUUGUCGAACUAUAGGCGAUUAAUCGUCAUCCCUUUAAUACUUCAACUCUCUUCUCGAUCCGUGAUAUACGAUUCAUCCGACUAACUUUUAGUCGAUCGACCCGGUUAACAGUUAACCAAGUCGCGCAUGGCCAUGCUUCCCGAAUCAUAUCACUCGAGAGGGCCCAGAGAAUAUCUCUCCAGUCGGAGGGGCAAAAUCCCAUCUUGGUUAUCCACAUCACACAGCUUGAUUCUCAAUCAACCCGAACUCUGCCUUUAUAACUGCCCUGUUACGGAACAACGUUUGACAGAACCUAAGUUGGUGAUCCACAACUCGGAUUGUGCGAUAACCUCAGGUCUAAGGAUUACAUUGAUUGAGACAUGCAAAUGACGACCUACUCGUUGCAUCUCAAUAUGGGUCAGUCCGACUCGCUAAACUCUUUAGCCAAGUCCGUGUAAGCUGGAAUGACAUCACCAUGCCCAUGACAAGUGGAACCGAGUCAUCAGCCAACUUUCACAUUAGUCUAGGUUAUGUGUCCAGCACAACCUCAAUGACUAAGGACAAUUUAGUAUGAACAACAUGAAUACAUAGUUCCACAAUCAAAUCACAUAUUCAAUGAUACAUAUCAGAUGUUCAAACAAGGACAACUUAAUAAUAUUUAUGAAUACAUUGGGAAUUACAUCAUACAUGAUUGCCUCUAGGGCAUAUUCCCAACAGUUUAUACCGGAGAUGUACGGUAUUGGAGAUAUUCGAUACGUGAUGGUCGAGUUUUGAAGACAUCACAAAAAGAGUUGAUGGCAUGAAGUGACAUCGAGGUGAAGAUAUGUAGGUCCAGCCGUAGCUGGAUGAGAGCUGUUUAAAGAUUAAACAGUAGCGUCAUCAAGAUGGCGUCGGAUGGAAAAGUGAUCCACAUAAAAGUUGUGUGCAUCGUCAAGACGAACAACUUUGCUUUUGGAGUCAUCUCAAUCCGAGGUCGUAUGAGGGCCCCACGGGCAAAAUACUGACCGGGACAGAGGAGUCCGUGUUGGAUUCGGAUUCGGUUUAGGGUUGCGAAUUUUCCCUUAUAAAUAGAGGGCAUCCUAGCUAGGGUUUUAGCAAGGACGUGAGGGAACUCAAAGUUUUGGAUCUAGAUCAAUUCUUGGAGAGUUCUUGGAUGCAUGGUUGCAUCUUUUGUAAUCGAUCGACAUCGUUGCAAUAAAGAGAUUCGUUGGCGGUGUCAUCUCUGUUCUUCUCGGAUCUUCGUGAAAUCUUCGUGCUAGAUCUUUGUAAUACUUUGGUGCAGGUUCAUCACAAGUUCAUAAUACUUUGCUGCAGAUUUAUCACGAGAUCAAGAGAAGAUUGCGAUUAAUUCAUCUUUCUUGUUAUUCCUCGAAAUUGGUUUUAGAUUAAUCCUCGUAACUUUCUGUCAGCUGUUACUAUUUUGAUCAUAUAUUUUGAUUGGUAAGUCCGAUUGAGCUGAUUCUUGUUGCGUUGAUUAGAUAAUUUUAAUACCUUUCUUUUCCAUACUCAUACGGUUUUUUUUGUUCAUCCAAUCAAAAGUUACGGCUGUUUUACUAUCACGGACAGAAAGGUGAUUUAGGGUUUGAACUUUCGGAAAAAGUUUUAAUUUGCUUCCGCGCAAUCAUUCACCCCCCUCUGUUUGCUUAUCUCGAUCUCACAGAAAUCAUAAAUUGUUAAUAUCUCUAACAAGAGCUGGUACGAGUUUCAGUCAGAUCACCUUGCUUUUCACAAGAGCCGGUAGCUGGUACUCGUCUCCGACGAGAACAGCGAGACGGAUGCCAGGAAUCUGCAAAGGCAACAGCGACUCGCACUCCUUCAGCUGCGCUGCCUCGUCGACGACAAGGAGGUCGAACGGCUCGGCCUUUUGCAGGUAGUGCAGACGAGAUGAGCUCGACGCAGUGCAGAGUACGCUUUUGCAGCUCCUCAGCAAGAAAUCCUCGAUCGACCGCUUUUCAUAAACCUCUGGAAGAUCAAAGUUGUUGGACAGGUCAUUUAACCUCUCGAUGCCGAGGGAUCUGGCCUGCUUAAGCUCUGUACGCACGCUGUCUUGCACAUAUACCACGAGACUCCGAAACAAACAGCUGGUUUCUCCAUCUGUGUCUCUGAUUCUGAACAGUGUUUCCAGCUGCUUGUCUGGCUCAUGCUGCGCUAGUCUCCCAAACUCUUUAAGCAAGCGCAGAACCUCGGUCAUGUAACGGAAAUUCUGUCCAGCUGUUGCAGAUCUAGGGAGAUCAUUGCAGAAAAUCUCGAUGCAGUUAGCCAGACUACUCUCGACUUCCUUGUAGUGACUUAGGAAGUCGUCCUUGAAUGACAUUUUCUGAAUUCUCUUCUUUUUAGCAAGAUCCUCCUUUGCCUCCACCAUUUUGUUCUUAUCCUUCUUAGCACGUUCCUCCUUUUCCUGCCUAGCAAGUUCCUCGAUCUCCCUUUCGAUCUGCUGAACAUACGAAUCGUACUGAGGCAAAGGUUCCUCGAGAAUUCGUACCAUGGAACUCAAGCAGUUUGUCCACCCUGCACCUGGCAUCAAGCACUUUUGGAGACGGCGAACGCGCUUCUCCAAGAAAAUCUUCCCGGGGCUCUGAUCCACGUUCAUCCGAUCCUCGUUGCCGAACAACACAACAUCGCUCAAAAAGCAUUUCUUCCCACUGCUGCCGCCACAGGAAUCCUCGACGAGGCUGAGGACCCGAGACGCGACCUCCACGACCGCAGUGUUGGUCGGAGCACAGGUCAGUGUUCUGUGGUUCUUGACCAUCAUGGACCAUAGUAGAGUGCUGAUGGUCUUCGUCUUCCCUGUCCCUGGAGGACCCCAUAUCAGACGCACCUGACACGUAUCUGGCUGCUCCAUUGAUGAGACAGUCGAGUACUGCCCUCCGUUGGGACCCGUUGAGCUUGAAAUUUUCAACGUCAAGUUCUCUGUCUGGCAAAUAUAAUGGUAAUUCCGAUUCGUCCUCCUGGCCAACCAACAAUAAAAAAAAAGAACACUUAAAACAACAGUUGAAACAUGCUAGAAAUAAGUAAGAAAACAGAGUUCAUACCCUCGGAGCAUAAUUUACAAUCUUCGCAAUGAUGCUAGUGUUCCUGUGACAAGCAACCUCCACAUCCAGUGCAUUCCAUAUACGAUUGUAAGUCGUCAUGUUGAUCAGGAACACCGCGACAAGAGGCAAUACGAACUCUCCUCUCCCGCCGCGUUCAUGGACAGGCCUACCUGACAGCCUUACUAUGGCUCUGCCGUUCGCGUCCUCGGCCUUCAACACUGAGGCGAUCACAUAACGCACCUUGCUACUACCCAAUUGCGAGAUAUGCUUCGGCUUCUGAUCCGUCAGCAAUAGUACAUCGGCGUCCUUCAGGGCAUAAACUUCCCCCGGAUUUAUUUUGGGGUCAGCCUUCUUCACCAGGAUGCUGAAAAUCGACUGCUCUGAAUCUGAAGAAAGUCCCUCGAUCCGGACAAAUUCAGUUGCUGGUGCGUGCUUGAUGCCCUCCAGCGCCGAAGAGAGAUCGGCACGAGUUUCUUCUAUCAGUGGUACGGUGAAUGAGCCCAUGUACUCCUUUAGAGAUGUAAAAGUGCUCGGUACUUUCUUAACCUGAAGUGGAGAUUAGCCAUGAUUUGGUUGGUUUUCUGAGCUUACAGAAUAACAGUACAGUGUCGAAAGCCGGAUCACUGUAGUAUUCUUUUUUUCAAAAACAAAAUUCUAAACCGUCUCUUUUAUAAUGCUAAGUUUGCAAUCAAUGCUUUCUGAUAAAUUAAACUGAAAAUGUCACUGUAUAAUAAGUAUAGGGACUAAUUAACUUACUUGAAAAGGCGAUUCAAUCUGGUAAUGACUAUUUAUGUUACAUAUGAUUUAAAUUACGGAGUAGAUCAGAUAGAACAAACUGAAAAUAAAGUUGCAAGAGACGCAUAAGGUGAAAAACUAGCUACUCCUUCCGUUACAAAAUAUAAUACUUUUGACCGCCAAAUUAUGUACUUAUAUGAUAAAUAUUUCGUACUCACUCCGUCUCAUAUUAAGUGUCUCAAAUUUGUUCAAAUACGGAUGUAUCUAUACAUAAAAAGCGUCUAGAUACAUGUAAUAUUUCGACACUAAAUAUGGGACGGAGGAAGUAUCCAUAAGUACAAUAUUUCGUAUCGAUAAGUACAAUAUUUCACAAGAAGGUGUUGUUGAAUAAAGGAGUACAUGCCCGGGUUACUAGACGCGUAUAUCUAAUGAAGCUGAGAGUUAACAAUUCAUAGACCCUUGCAACAAGCAUUAAAAGACACAAAAACCUUGAUUUGUAUAGAUACAAUAUCACAACAAGUAUUCUACACGCCCGCGUAGUUCUGAAAACGUAGACGGUUUAUUUUGACGAGCAGGCAUGAGUUCAUGUUCCCAUUUCUUGGCCAAUAACAGUAUUUCCGCUAUGGGCAUGUAACCUAGUUCUUCAUUCCAAAAGCAAACGAAGAUAAACAUACAGGUUCGCUGGAACGACUCGCCUUUUUCUUGAAGAGGUUCCUGUUGAGCACUUCCUGAAGUGACCACGAGAACAUCUGCUUCUCCAAGUCGCUCUGCGCCCACGUGCUGUACCUGCUAUCAUUUGUUGACCCCGCCGCCUUCUCAAUUCGCCGCACCAGAACAAGGUCGUCGUCGCUCAUCUUGCCCCUCCCACACGCUCCCAACUCUGGCGAAUGAAAGCUCUGCUCGGUCGAGAGCUUUGAAGAUGCGUGCGUGGAUCUGUUCAGGUCAGGAUUUAAAGGGCAGGGAAGGGAGCCGGUUGGAUUCCGGCUGCCAAUUAAUUUUUAGUUGGGAUGCGAAGAGCCAAGGGAUUCAGUAAUUAACGCAAGCGCGCUCCUUUCAGUUUCGCAAUGGUAAUGGCGGAUCGAGGGGAAACCGGGAAAUGCUUCGGAUGCUGCUGCACGUUUUAUUUGGACCCUGCUUGAAUGUUGAACUAAAUACCAAUACUCUCCAUAAAAAAAAAUCAACAGCAGUUCGUGCAUAACUUUUUGAUUCUCGAACGUCAAAACAUGAACUACGUGAUGGUAUACUACUCGCAUGUCCAGUUGUCCACGACCCCACCUCCUGGUCAAAACCCGUACUGUUUCGUUCAUUUCUCGGGUUUACUACUACUCACUCCGUUCCAAAAUAAGUGACAUGAAUUUGUAUAAGAAUCCAUACAAAAUCUGCGUCAGUUAUUUUGGGACGGAGAAAUUAUUUGGUUUGUAAUUGAUGGUAUAUACCGUCUGAAUUUUCUGUGGAGUACUUGGUUUGUAAUUGAUGGUACAUACUAUCUAAAUUGAUAUACUUCCUUCGUUCAAAAAUAAGUGAUAUGACGUCAUUUUAUUUUGGGACGAAGGGAGUAUGGAAUUGCACUGUGAAUUAACAAGGGGGAGUGGGUACCAGAUUGUCAGAUUAUAAUGCACGGAAUGGAACUGAUUUACGUGCUAUUUUUGCAGUGAAGGUUUAAAGUUAGCUUAGCCACUAAGCUACGAACUGACCGAUGAAAGCCCUCCAAACGCACGAAAACGAGCUCUCAAACCAAGCAAACCACCCCCGCAACAAGACACGUUCGCUCGCCUGCUCUUCCCCGUUCAAAAGCUCAGAAAUCAGCAAUUCAGAACUCCCGAGACAAAACAAAAGGGGGAAAACCAUAUUCAAAACCUCCCCAAACCCUCAUCCACCGUCGCCAUGGACAGGGCACCGCCGCGCGGCGCAACCCGCGACGCCGUGGGCCAGCGGUGGCUCGCCGUCUUCGCCUUCCAGGCCGCGCUCUCGGCCGCCGCCUCCGUUGUCCACCUCGCUGCCUCGCCGCGACGCCGCCACCCUCGCCUCGGGGUGCCCCCGGCCCUCCUACUCGCGCUGCACCCGCUCCUCUCCUGCGCCGCCACGGGACUCCUCGCGCUCGCCUUCCUCAUCUCCGCGUCGCCCCACCCGCGCCCACCACCGGUACCACUGCGCGCCCUCGCGGCGUCCUUCCUCGCUGCUGCUGGCGCGCUCUUCGUGGGCGCCGCGGCGUCGCUGGUCCCCGAGGACGCCGGCUGGGCUGCCGUCGCGGGGCUGGGAUUCCGCGGCGCCGUGUUCGGCGCCGUGUUCGCUGCUCACUACUUUGGGCGUGGGAGGUGGUUGCUCCAGUUCCCCGUCGUGCAGGUGAGUAAAUAGGGGAAAAGUUAGGGUUUCAAUAUGUGCUGUUUGGUUCUUCCUAAAUUGCUGAUUGAUUUGGGUAUGUUUAGUUUUUAGGCUUAGAAUUCAUACCAAUAUGAUUAGGAUUAACUUCAUAGGAAUGAUUGGUGGUGCCAAUGACUAUUGCUGCUCACUACAUUUGAUGUUUGUCAAAUGUGGUUUGGAUUAUUGGUAUUUUUACGCUGGGGUUUUGUGAUCAGAGGGGGGAAUGGGUGCUAGCUAAUCUUUUGGUGUUUCAGUUUAGAAAUCUAAAUCAUAUAGUUGAUGAGACUAUUGCGAUCUCUGUCUAAUUUCCCGAGGAUAUUGUAUUGCAAUUGUCAUGGUCGAAUUCCCAGGCAGACACCUUGUUUUAUCUUAAUUCUUAUUGGUAGGAGUAUGUUUGUAAGAUCAAAAUGGGGUUUACUCCAAACUUAGGGGUUGUGAUUUAUCAAACCUAUGGCUGGUUAAUUUUGAGCCCUUAGGAAUCUUAGACUUGCUGGGUAUCUCACUUGCUAUAUUAUAGUUCUUCCCAGCAGUCACUUGCGUAUGUUGUCAGUUGUCUUACCUUUUUAACUUGUUUUAUUGUCCAGCGACCUCUAUUCUACGGAUUAAAGAUGGGGCUUCUGCCAUCCAUAAAAAGGGCUCUAAAGGUGUCGAUUCAGGCUUUCUGCCUUUCACUUGCCCUUACUUUUAUUCUUCCUCGGCAAUUCAGAAUUGGAGGAACCAUUGGAGGCCAAAUUAUCACCCAAAUCAGUAUUUUUGUAUUGACCACUGGUGUUUCCUUCUGUUGGGAAAUAAGCCAUCAUUUUGUCCAGGUUUGUUCUCUGCGAAAUGCAAAUCAAAACAACUUGCCAUAGAUACACUGUUUUUUCACUGUCUGGACUCUGCAGCUUCAUUCAUGUGGAAAUUUAAUACAAUUGCUUUCCAAUUUCAGGUUGUGCAUACAAGAAGGUGCAGUUUUACUCCACCUCAGAGCACUGCUGCUGCAGAGACUAAUCCUACUGAUUAUAUCCUUGAAACGUUGGAACUAAGUGAUCCACGAUCGUUGAUGCAAUAUCUAGCAUUCCAAGAUUUGUGUGCGGUAUCUGAAUGUAACUUGGAACCUUGGCGUCGAGCUGCCUUCUUUGAGGAAUCUGGUGAAACUUAUAAAAGAAUUGUCACAGCCUGUUUGAAGCCACUUGAGGAAUUCACUUCAAAAAUUGCUGAAGCUCUCGAAGGGUUUUCUAGUGAUAAGCCAGAACUGCUGUCACAACAAUCCAAGCUCUUUGGGGCAUUUAAUGAUUCACAGGUGAUUUGGCAAUCAUUUUUUAGUACUUAUGAAGUUAUAGGUUGUUUUGUCAAUCUUGUUUGUGUUCCUUGUUGUAGAAAUAAUGAUACAUGCUCCUUGCUAAGGACCAUCAUCUAGCAAAUAGUUGGAAUCUAAUGUUAAUGGAGUUGCUUCUUUCUAUUUGAAUGGGAGGCCAUACUUUAUAGUCCUCGAAUUGAGUAUACUUCAAGGCUCAAGCAUAUGUGCAUCAUGAUUGGUUACUCACAGUCAUGCUUAAUAAACUCGAAAUCUGAAUAAUGAAUCACAUGAUCAGAAAGAUUUUGCAUCAGAAAUGAUUACCGAAUGUAUUUUACAUAGUAUGUUGUGUGGGUAAGAGACUUUCCACAUUUAAUCUUUUCUUGAAAGAUAUAAUAGCUUGACUUCAAGUGUUGAGACCUUUAUUUGACAAUUGGUACGCGCUUUUUAAAACUGAUGGUUAAUGCUGGCAGCUAGUGUAUCAGGACCACAUUUAUUUUUAUGGUGAUUAGUAUAUUUGGGUUCAUAGGGAGUGUUAGCUAUCAGUCUGUGGCAUUGCAAAUGGCACUAUUACUAUGCAUUUGGACUAUUCUGCACCACUUUAGGAUACUAGAGUUAGGGUUUCAGCAACUAUGGAAAGUUGGUAUGAUUGUGAAAUACAGCACAUGUGAUGGAGAUGUCCUGGUAUGACUGUAUGACAAAUUGAUCUCUAAUACAUGGAUGCAGUAUGCACUGCCGUCGUCUGGUUCUCGAGAUCAGUGGGAAAUUAUGGUUCUUCAAUCUACCAAGUGUUAAUGAAAUAAUAGUUCACCAUUAACUUGUGGAGCAUGCUUUGCCUCAGAACAAAUGGAUUGCAGUUACGAGAAACACUCUUUUCCAUUUGAAGAAAAUUAUGACAGGACUAUAUUGACUUCUAUUUAAUCAGAAUAUUAUCCGGCAUUCUCAAUAUAACUGAAUCUGUUGGAUUCUCAUUUCUACUUUUCGUUCAUAGAGGUUAGAAUUCAUAUUACCGAUUCUAAGUACCAAGAAUGGAAACUGCUAGCUGGUAUGCAGAACUCACAUCAGCUUUGACAGUAUCUGGAAGCCUGAAACUGUGAAAACGAUGUUCAGUUUAGUAGCAGUUCGAGUUUAUUUUUAUAUAUUCCACUACAUAAGGGUUUUCCCCAUAUAUUUUUUUGGUUUAUCACCAGAUGACUACUCAUAGAAACUAUAAAUCACUAUCAGUGAACAUGGACAUUUUGAAGAUUUUUACUAUCGAUUUUGAAGAUGUUGCAAUGUUUUGUGGCUUUAGUACCAUCCAGAAGCUAUAUUCUUAUUCAAUAGGUGUCUUUCUGAAUAAAUUCAAUCAAGCUACAUGCCUGUGCUUUAAUAGCCUGGUCAUAAGAUUUUUUAAUGCCUACAGGGUUCAGGCCAUCAAAUGUUUGUAUUUACCUGAUAUGGUGUAUCAUUUUCAGAUUAUGUAAUCCAAAGAUUAAUUUAUUCAGUAAUACCUAAUGCUAGAUUAUUUUGUGUGACUCAACAAAUGUAGAUAUGCUCAUUGUGUGCUCGGACAUUGGCGGCACUAACUGCACGCUCACGGCGAGAGGAUCGGUAUGGAGUUGCUCAACUCACUGGCUGCAACGCUGCUGUGAUGUCUACUUUGCUGUCUGUGCUAGUGGCAGUUGAGGCGUGUUUAGGAAAGAAAACUAACCCACAACCUGUGCACUCACUGGGUCCAGCAAGCAUUAGGUGGGCUAACUUCUCCACGGGAAAAAAAGGCAAUGCAACUGCAAUUGCAAGCACGCAAAGAGGUGGUCUGCACACAAAAGCUUAUUUGAUGGCUGAUGUCCUCCGGACUUCAAUUUAUCAAAUGGUUUCUGCCUUUCUGGAUGACAUGCGGGCAAAUGCAAAAGCAUCAAGUUUGGAGAAGAAUUGGAUCAGUGAAGGAAGAAAACCUAUAUUUGGUUCACAGGCUGUGUUGGUUCAGAAGUUGAGCCUGUUUAUUGAAUAUCGUGCUGUCUGAACCUGGUGUGAUGUCUCUCAAAUAUUUGCUAGCAAUUCAGACCAUACUUCGGGUGAAGAAUUUUUUGGAACUGCUGAUCAGCUCGGGAGGCAUUUCCCAUUCAAAAUCUUCAGGAAGGCAAGGAGGGCCCUGACCUGUCAAUUUCACAGUUUUAAACCCGUUGGAAGCACCAAGUUAGUGAUUGGGAAUUUGCUCACUCAUUCUGUUUGCUACUCCCAGUUAAUUUCUCAUAGCCUGGAACAGUAGAGUACAGUUAUCUGUAUGAUGAAAUUUCACCGUAGCUUGGAACUUGAAAUGUUUUUGGCUAUCAUUCAACAUGAUUGUCUUCUUAAAUUGUCAGUACGUACAUUAUACACGCAAUCUGUAACUUCUUACGCACUUGGUCAUUGAGUACUAGUCAUAUUCGAAUGGUUUUCCUUGUUUGGUGGAAUUGGCAUUACCAUGUUUUGUUGUUCAUGCUGCAUCGAUCCAACGUUUUAACAAGGGCUUCACUGGUAGCCUGCUGGAAUCGUUGUUUACUUUCUCGUACUACUCAUCCAAUUCAAAUUUGCAUUUGAGUUUGGACGUGCAUUUUAACCACUAAUACCUUGAAUGAUACGGAAAAUCCACUAUGUUGAGCCCAUCUGUCAUUACCCCCCCGUAUUGACUCACAGCAAUUUCACGCUAGCUCGCAAUUUCGUCUCAGUAGACACAUGCUGAAGACGUACAGUAUCUCCAUUUCAAGCGACCAUUACGCUCUAAUUAAACCUAGGAAGUAUAUUACACAAUCUCGUCUACAAAGAACAUAAACACAAUGGAGAAGAGCACCCAACAGAUUCCGUAGACGCCGUUGCCUAUUUGCCUAGACACAGUUGAACGCAAUGGCCCGUAGCUGCGCGUCAGUGUUAGGCGGAGCGAUGCCGAAUUCCUAACUAACGACCAGGGCGUUGCUGGCCAGCCUCGGCGUUGCAGCGACCGCCAGCGGCGGCCUCCUCGGCGAGGUCCCGAGCACCGAGAGUGCGGCCCUCGUGGCAGCCUUCCUGGCGGCCUUGGGGCAAUGCCGGCGCGGCGAGAGGAAUCGACCUCGGUGCGCGUCCAGGCCUCCCCCGCAGCUCCGUGACGGCUUGAGGCGCUUCCUGGCCGGCUUGGCCAGGUCCUCCAGGGAUCCCACCGCCGCCAGCGACGCGAAGGACUGCGACUUGCCGUCGAAGAACUUGGACAACCCCCUCCUGCAAAACAGAACCGCAGCGGCGUCAGUUCAGCCUCUCCGCUUAGAUCAAGAAGGUAAAACCAGGGCACAUCGUGGCGCGCGCACGUACUUGAAGGGGAGCUGCGUCAUGAGGGCGGACAUCUCGAAGUGGUCGGCCGAGCCGAAGGAGGAGGUCGCGUCGUCGGCGAGCUCCGAGGACGAGGAAGCCGCCGAGCUCCUGGACGUGGACUCGGACUCGGACGCCGAGCCGAUGUCCUCGUCCUGCUCGUCGUAGGCGGCGAUCUUGGGCUCCGCGGCCCGGCGGAACAGCAGGUACGCGUCCAUCUGAGUCCCCAUGCCGAUCAGAUCAGAUCAGAUCAAACGACAGGAAAGAGGAAGCAGACGAUAACGGGAUAAUCAACCCGUGAGAUUUCGAUUGUGUUUGCCCGUCGAUGAGAAAGGAUCGAUCGGCGCGGCCGCUAUAAAGGGGAGGGAAGGAGGGUGAGUCACUGGGAGGAUAAGAAUGGAGGAGGAGCUGCCACAAAUAGAGGGGCGGGCGUACGUGGGGCGAGCGGAGGAGAUAAAAGAGGCCUCGGCGUUUAUUCGUGCGCAAGUAAUGCGGGUAAUUUGUAGAUUCGGCAUUAUCUCCUGCCCCUCAUGACCCCAUCCCAUCUCUUUGGUUCUUUCUUUAUUCGCGGGGAAUUUCUAUCUUGCCUUGGUGGGAGAGAGGGACGCGACGAGGCGAAGAAGGGUGUGGAUAAGGCCUCCACAUGGAGGCGUCGCGCGUUGGAACCCGGGGCGUGCUUCGGCCUGACUGGGACGGACGGACUGGCUCGGCUGAGUACUGCUGACUGUGCCUGCGUGGCUGUGCUUGGGCAGGGGCCACACACUUGAAUUCUACUUGCGGCACGCGGGUUUUCCCCGUCCACUUGUUCUGGGACUGGGUUGUAGGAGAACUGGUGGGCUGAGUAGUUGGACGGGACCAUCGCCCUUUCGAAUGACCUCGGCGCGUGGCAUCCCCACCUUGUCUGUACUUUAUUUAUCAAAGCUACUGUGCCUGUCAUCACUUGCUGGAUCAAUUUCCAUUCCUUUCUUAUAUUGGCUUUUUAAUUGUGGGUGUCUUUUGUGGUGGGGCUAAUCAAUUUUUCAUGGCUUGAUGUUUUUUUUAAGACAGUCAUGCCUAAGAGCAUCUCCAACAGCAUACUCAUAUUUUAUAGAAUAUCCAAAAACUGUCAAUACGUGUAUUUUGUCCCAAAAUACGUCUCUAACAGCGUACCCAUAAAUUUCGGAUAACCAAAUUAUUUUUGAUAGCUAUUCAUAUUGGAGGUUAAAAUAUGGUAGCUGUCCAAAACACCCGACCAGUGGCGGGACGGCCAACUGCCUCGUUCCGGCCAUUUCCGAGCCGGCGCCGGUCUCCGAUUCCGGCGGCCGGACCGCGCCGCCGCCGACCACCGCUGUCCUCCCACCGUAGCCGACCCCUCCGCCACCUCCCUGGGUGCCCCCGCCGGCGUUCCCCUGCCCCCGUUCGGCUUAGCCCCGGCCGCAUCGGGUGCCGCCGCUGGCGGGGCCGCCCCCAACUGCUGCCCCGCGCCUGGCGCCACCGUAGCCAGACGGGGAGAGGAAGAAGAGCAGGGGCCGCCCGCUCCCUCUGCCCCGCGUCCCCAAGGCGCGACGGUGGCUCGCGCGGUGCCGAUGCCGGCAGGCGCCUCGCGGCCCUCGUCCGAGCCUGCGGUGGCCUCCGUCAGCCCUCGUCCAAGCCUUCCGCGGCCUCUGCCGGCCUCGCCGCUGCAUUCCACCGCCCGAGAUGGCUGCCGCCGCCACCUGCGCCCUCGGCCACGCACCGCGCUGCAGCCGCCUGCGCCUCCGUGUGCAGCUCUGCUCGUACCGCGCCGCCACCGCCCGUGCCCUGGGUCCCCGCCUGUGUGCCAGAGGGCGCCAUGCCGCUCAGCUCUGCUCAGAGGAAGGAGAAACUUUUUAGUGUUACGAUGUUGGAAAUGUUCCUAUGGGUUGUUAUGUUAGUCUUGUUUGGCAGGGUGCAGGCUUGUCCUGACGUAAUCAACUACUGCAAAAGUGAAGUGCCGUCCACUCGGUUUUGUCUAAACUCUGUUCCAUUUGGUACAAGGAGAACCAACGGAUGCCGUUCUUUUCUCGAUUGGGAUAGGAAGGAAGGAUGUGAUGCUAUGAGUGAACAAGCCACUUGUAUUUUAUUUAUUUAUUUCUUUUUGGAGAGAGAGAAUAUCCCUGAAGAUGAAAGAGAGCACCAAACGCCAAAAGCUAGUCGCAGCUAAGAUUAUUAGACCCAAGUAUUUGAAGAAAAAGACGGCCAUCUGGGCUUGUAUUUUUAAAGAAUCCUGUUCUUAUCUCUCCAAUUUUCUGCAAAGUCGGAGAUCACCCACUUGACCACUAACGUUGACUCAUUGUCCAACCUUCACUUUUGGUCUUCAUCUUAAGCCUUCCCAAAAAAUUAUUGUAGUGACAAUUCUGAAGAAUCAAACACUUUACAAGUGUUCGCAUGUAGCCCAAAUAGCAUUUACUCUUGUAAGAGGAACAAUUGAUGGCGGUGGUCCGUCACCACUCCGCUUUUUUUAUUUGUAAAAAAGUUACAAUUAGAUUUAUUACAUAACUAGAUAGUGAUGAUAUUUGCCAUAAAAAUUAGAUAAAAGAACUAGCAAGUGCUAUAUAAUACUACUGCUUUUUAAUUUCAUUUAUCUUCAGAAAGCGGUCUAAUUUGUCUUUUCUGUAAUAACACGGGUUAUUUAGCUAGUAUGGAGUAUAAUAAAGGAAUCAUAUUCUUGCAGCUAGGCCUAUAACUAGGUUUAAAAAGAACCUUCUAUGAAGAAAACGGAUGUUCACAUGAAAGUUGACAGUAUUUCAUGACAUUUAACCUGAGCACCGAAGAAACCAAGCAAAUCUCAAGGAGCUCACCAAGAUCAACGCACUAAUCUCAAUAUGCAGUCAGCAUCACCGAGCCACGGAGCCAGUAUAAAUUUAGUAGCGCAGUGGAAGACAGGGACUUGAUAAGGGGAUGGGGAGAAUGAGAUUGGCCACUUGGCCUCUAUAUUAGCCUAUCUGCUUAAGGGGACAAACAGCAGAAUUUAUGUGGCUAUGGUAAACUAAAGCUUCAGACAAGCUCAUUAAAGUAAAGCUGGAAAGGUCCGUCAGUGCGGUUACUCUUAUCCACAACUAUCGGUCAACACAAAUCUAAUCCGCUUCUGGACACCGACACAAAGGUAUGGACCCUAGCAUCUUACUAUAUCCUCGUCACACAACAAACGGCAGAAGAAAGCUACUAAGCAUUUCUUAACCACAGAUUUGUAUGAUUGGGGCCCCAACCGAAACAGACCAAGGGCUAUCGGGGACAGAAAUGACUAUAUAGUGACGGCUGUGUAGAUAAUAAAGUAAGGAUGUGAUUUCAAUAAGAUGGAGCCAUUCAGCAACGAUGAACUGAUGAAAGAUUAUAUUUCGCAUCUUUUCCACCAAGGAAUCACCAACCCGAUAACUAGUGUUUUGAGAGGAAGCAUGGACUGAUCAGUGGUCGGUAAGGCUGGACGUCGGCUUCUCUGGCUGGAUUGGGAGCCCGAAGGACCACACACCACAUCGUUUUUGUUUUUGAGAAAAUUGACAUUUGUUUUCUCCGCUGAAAUCCAUGGGGUGGCUCUACUGGGCCGGGAAUGGCUCUGAUGAACAAAUAUAUAUUGGGCUGGGCCUUUUUAGAUUAGGCUUGAUAUUUAAAUACAACCACGUCCCAGAUUAUACAUUGGGCUGGGCCUUUUUAGAUUAGGCUCGAUAUUUAAAUACAACCACGUUUUUGGGUGCAUUAUCGAUUAAAAAAGAAUAGGUCAGACGACCAUACAACACCAGCCAAGCGGCAACACACUGUCCAAACGGUUACAACGCACCUAGUGGCCAAGGUCUCAACACCUUGUAACAUCUCAAUUUUCAAAACUCUUCAUAUGCAUUGCAUAUCAUAAGCAUCAUGUCAUCUUUGCAUUUGAUCACUUUCAAAACUAUAAAAUUUGCCCAGAAAACUCUUUUGCAAAGAUGCCUUUAUUUGAUUUUGAACCUUGAUCUUGCUUUUCAGUAUUUGCAUUUUAACCCAUGAGGGUAUUGUGGUAAAAAGGGAUUUAAUGCAUAUAUAGAGCUAUCCCAUAAAUUGGCUUUUGAAAUUAUUUUGAAAAAUAAUUUGUUUUGAUAGCUUAAGGGGGCUAAAAGCCAUUUUAUAGGUAAAUGUAUUUUUAAAUAUUUUACUUUGAGAAAAUUCUUGUUCCAAAAGUUAGAUCAUAUGAAAAUAUGAUUUUACCAAUUUUGUUGCAUUUUCUUUGAAGUGUUUUGGAGCUCCGAAUCAAUUUUGAGGUUCAAAACAGAAAAUAGACAAAAGAAAAGGACAAACCGUAGAAAACCGGUCAAACAGGACCGAACCGAACCGACCGGCCCAGCCCGAACCGCCCGGUCCCCCUCAUUGACCGGUGGACCCCGCGCGUCAUCUUCUCCAACUGCCUCCUCCGGAGUCCACGCAGAGCACGCCCCGCGAACUGCCCAUGAUUCCUUCCCGAUUUCUUCACGCACGAGCUUCCAACUCCAAAUCCCUGCGCGUCACCUGGAAGCACUCGCGUUUCUCCUCCAAUUCCCCCAAACCCCACGUUCAAUUUCGCACCGGUUAGAGACUAAUUGCUAGCCGGAGUUCGUUGCGGUCGUCACCGUUCUUCUCGAUUCGUCGCCGUUCCGAUGAGGUUCCCGCCGCGCCAAGCCCCUAACCUCUCUCCUCUCCUCGUCCUGAACGCCCUGACGCGCUCGCUUUUGUGUUUGGCCGCGGCCGCCGCGCUCCGCCCCGCGCCGGCCAUCUUCUCCGGCGCUGGCCGCCGCCCGAGCUCCCCGCGCCCGCGCCCUUGCGCCGCCGCGCCGCCCGCCAUCGCCUGCCGUGCCGCCGCCGGCCGGAACCCUAGGUCCCGACCUAUCCCGCUCUGCCACGUGGCGAGGCCUUUUUAUUUUAUUUUAUUUUCGGCCGAAUUAGAUAAGGUUUUUUUUUCAGAAAAACCCCCGUAACUUCAAAGUCUCAUAUCUUUCAAACCGUUUGUCCAAAAAUUGUGAUCCGCACCUUUCUGGAAUCGUCACAACGUGUAGAAUAAUCAUGGCAUACUAGUUUAAAUAUUGCUCUAUGUUGCAAAAACCACGCAAUCUUUUAAUUUAAACCUUAUCCUUGUUUCAUGCAUAUUAAUUACCUAUUUGAUGUUGUAUAACCUGUCCAAAUCAUUUGAAAAACCUUUCAAAACAGAAACAAAACUUGUUACAUUAAAAGUAACCAAGUGUGCAUUAACAUAGCAUAUGCAUCAUGGCAUGAUUUUUGCAUUGAAUGUUGUGUUUAUUGUGUGCAUGUUUCUUUUAUUUUAGAUUGUGUGGGGUGUAUUCCUUGUUGUUGCGAAGAGUGCGAGAACUAUCACAACCUUGGACAAGGCAAGUUCACUUUGAUCAUAUCCCAUUAUUAUUGUUGUUUUAAAAUACUUAUGCAUUAGUGUUGUUGGUAGAGAUGCAUUGAUAGGACUAUUACUCGUACCUCUAUGCUAGCCAUAAAUCCCAUGUAGUAUAGUUUACCCUCACCAUUACCUUGCCACAAAAUUGCCAUCGAUUGUAGUUGAAUGCUAGGCUAUGGUAGUAUCGUGGGGGAAAUAACUACAUUAUGAUAUUGCUAUGCCUUUGGCUAUAUGAAAUGUUUUUGUUAGAUGUAAGGCAAAACAACUAAUUCAAUGAACCGUCCUGGGUGGUCUGCUUUGAGGAUUUUGAGGAUUAGCGGCAUCAGGUCCAUUUCUAUGGGUCCCUCUGAGUCGAGUUCCUGUGGAUUCAGGAAUGGAUCGUCGAUGGACGUCUCUCCCGUGGAUUCGGGGAGCGCCUACGUUGCAAAUGUGGAAUGCCACCUGGGGUAACAGAGACUGGACUAGUUUCCUGUUUAGUAGCUUCCAGUACAACCACAUGGUAAUAUGGGCUCUGCCAGGAUGGAUGUAAGACAUAUGAUCCUGGAUCCGAGGGAUUGUGCAGAUGUAACCGUGUAGGUGGGAACGUAGGUCCCUCAGGUGGUCUGGGUGAUUAUGGUCUGAAAAUUCCUGUAAUCGAUGCCGUUGCUACUCUACCCUGAGGACAGCAAAGGAUCAACACGUCGAUUUCUUGUGGGUAAAGUGUACAACCUCUCGAGAGUGUCAAACUAAGUACUUAGCCGUGUCCCCGGUUACGGACAAUUUAUGAGCAACUAGAUUUGUGAGCUGUAAGGAAAGUCUCACUCAUUCCAAUUUCUUAAAUAAAAUGAAUGGUUUGAACAGGGUAGGAGCAUUUGAUGAAUCCACUUCAAUGUGCUCUAGGUUAAUAGGAGCAUGGGUGUGUCUACCCCGUGUCUAAUAGUUAACAUUAUUAUAACAUUCCUUUAUAGUAGGGUAAUUUAUGUUCUGCUUCCACGCAAACAGCCUGAACUCCACCUUGCCAAAUACUGCAUAUACUUGUUAGGUCUGUUAUAACCCUUUGGUGUACUUGACAAUACAUUCAAUGUAUUGACCCUAGUGGCUGCAUCGCUUAAUGAUGCAGGAAACUCCGACGACGAGUAAGAUGUACGUUCUGCUUGUUUGGGUUACGGGCCUACAUUCCAACACGUUCUCACCGUGGUGUUGAUGUGCUUACGCUUUCCGCUGCUAAACAGUUGUUUUAUUUCCAGCUAACCCGUGAGGUUAUGCGAGUUGUAAGUACCUUUUAAAUUCUGGAUGAUUCGUUGUAAUAUUGAGACCUUUGUUUUUAGAUAUUACAUCUUGAAACUGGGUGUGCUAGUGAGUCGAUCCAGGGACUAGCACUAAAGCACAGAGAUCGAACCCGUGUACGGGGGCGGUUGCUUCACACCUAUGUUGGCGGCGUCCACCGACUACCACUCAGAGCAGGAAAGGAAACCCUACCCCUAAAGAGCCCAGCCAACUCCCAACGCGCCGCCUCCUCCACGAUCCCGUGCAGCACCUGAAGAACCAAAGGAGUCGCCCCAUUGAAGACAACGUCGUUCCUAUGACGCCAGAUGGCCGAAGAUACCAAUCCGAAUGCUGUCCAAACGUCCCUCCUAUCUCCAGCGGGCACCGGCAGCAAAGUCCACCAGACUCUAAUAUCCACCUCCCCGGCCGGCAGCCAUUCAGGACGGCCCAAGCCGUGAGCAAAGGAGACCAAAUCUGACGAGAGAACACACAACCCAACAGCAGGUGAGAGAUCGUCUCCUGCUCCUGGUCGCACAACGGGCAACGAGGUGGAUGCUGAAGCCCCCUCCUCUGGAGCCGGUCGGCAGUCCAACACCUGUCACGAACCGCCAACCACAAGAAGAACCGACACUUGUUCGGAGCCCGUGAGCGCCAAACCAAGUCAGCCAUCGGGUCCACCAUCCGUCCCGCGAAGAAGUGAGCAUAAGCAGUCCUAGCAGAGUACUGCCCAUUGCUUGCCCAGUUCCACAACAGGACGUCCUCCCCCAUCUCCGAGAGCUGAAAGCCCCUCAAGCGAUCUCAAAGGGUGAGUAAUUCCAGGAUGGCCUCCGGCCCCAGAUUAGGCCCGACAUCACUUAACCACGCGCCAAGCAAACCCUCACGCACCAUGCGAGAGCGCACGAAGCGCGGCCUUACCCACGCCGAAAGGCUAGGAAAGGCAUCUCGGAUGAGGACGCCAUCCAGCCACCUGUCACACCAAAACAGCGUAUUGCGACCAUCUCUCGGCCUAGAAGAGGUGGCCGCCUCAAAAACAUCCUCAACGUCCUUUGACGUACCAAAACCUAGCUCGCGCCAAGGUUUGGAGUCAUCCACCCUUUCAAGCCACCUCCAACGAACUCGGAGCAUAGUGUUGAGGCAAGCAAAGUUCGGGAUCCCUAGCCCCCCCCCCCCCAACUACUUGGGUAAGCACACCUGGUCCCAAGCCACCGAACAGUGCCCCCCCCCCCCCCCCGCACCUCCUUCCUCCCCUUCCACAGAAAGCCACGGCAGACCUUGUUCAGCGCAUGCAAGGUCUUCCACGGCAGGUCCAGCGACAUCAUCGAGUGAACCGGAAUGGACGCUAGGGUGGACUUGAUAAGCACCAGCCUCCCACCUUUGGACAGCAGAGGUGCCUUCCAAGAAGCCAGCCUGUUCUCCACCUUGUCAACGACGGGCUGAAGCUGUGCCGCCGACAACUUCCUGACCCCCAACGGUAGCCCCAAGUAGGUGCACGGGAAGUCUUUCACCGCGCAUUGGAGCUGCGAGGUAACCAACACCUUUUGCUCCUCAGAGCACCUUAUGAGAUGGCCCCGUCCCAGAAUGGAGUUCGAUUAUACCGACGACAUUACCUCAAAACGAAAAUACUAUUGUACUCCGUAAUCGUAACAGCUUCUUAGCCCGCUGCAGAAAGAAUUAGCAUUUCUUAUUAUGAAAUUUAAUAGCAAUUCAAAAUAGUAUUUCCUCCGUCUCAUAUUUAGUGACUUUCUAUUACAUGUAUCUAAAUGUUUUUUAGACAAAGAUACAUUCAUAGAUGGAGGGAGUAACUAAUUAAAUAGCCGAGUUUCAGUACCAAAGAAUGAAAACAGAAGAAUGCAACAAGCGAACAACCAACUGUGUUUCACACCACGUCUCUAGUCUUCUCGGCCGCAGCUAGUUCCAACAGCUGCACAGGAUUCUUCUCUGGAGAAAUAAAGCGUUGAUUUCUCAUAUUUAAGACACUGAACUGAACUGGAACUAAAUAUAUUAGUAUCAAGGAUUACGGUGCAGAUGCUCAACUUAACCCAAAGAAACCGCAGAGUAACAAUUAAAUCUGAAACUGCAACUGCGAACGGAGCAAUUAUAUUUGCUGGGAUUGGAAUAAACAUGUCAUUGCAUCGAAAUGAUAGAACAGGGUUUAAAACAGGAGGUUGAGACGCACCGACGCACUACAGGAACAAUCGAAACAGGCAAACUACAGAAGGGAUUCUUGAUCUCUCUACACAGGGGAAACAAGAGCACAUCGCUAAGGCACAACCAGCAGAAUCAGCCGCCGAAGCCAUAGAGGGUGCGGCCCUGGCGCUUGAGCGCGUACACGACGUCCAUGGCGGUGACGGUCUUGCGUCGGGCGUGCUCCGUGUAGGUGACGGCGUCGCGGAUGACGUUCUCGAGGAAGAUCUUGAGCACGCCGCGGGUCUCCUCAUAGAUGAGCCCCGAGAUGCGCUUCACGCCGCCCCUCCUCGCCAGCCUCCGGAUUGCCGGCUUGGUGAUGCCCUGGAUGUUGUCGCGGAGAACCUUGCGGUGCCGCUUCGCGCCGCCUUUGCCCAGCCCCUUGCCGCCCUUGCCGCGUCCGGACAUCGUCGGAGAUCCGAUGAACUGAGAACAGUUGUACUAGACGAGAGAUUUGGAAUCGCUGCGGAGUUUGGUGAGGGAGAGGAAUGGAUCUGGGGUGGAAUUUAUAGUGGGAAUUUGGGUGGGGGGAGGGAAUUUUUGGUUUGGGUUUUGAGCGGGAGGAUUUCGAUUUCGGGGAUGGUUUUGUUGGAAGGGUUUGUUUGAGACGUCCGAUGGAAUUGGGAUCGGGUGGAUCGGAGAUGUGGAGGCAGAUCCGUGGGAAGAGGGAUUAGUUGGCGUUUGAUAGGAGAUGAACGGUGGUAAAUACAGCGCCAGGGUUGCCGUGGAUCGGUGACGUGGCGACGACUGUGUUCAACUGGAUCGUCGCUGCGUUGAUGGGCCUCGUGGCCCAUAACUCGUCAACAGACAACGGCAGCUGCUAAUCAUGACUCGCGACUCCAUGGUUCAGACUCACAUAGUUUACUCACAUGGUUUUGUCGCACAUAGUCACAGUGCAUCGUUUGACGCGAAAAUAUAUAAUUCGGUUUUGUUAUUCAAAAGUUGUAAGCUUUUUAGUUAGAGAUCAGUACAACGGUAGCACGUGAGAACGGGAAGAGACACUCCCAGAUCUUAAUCCAACGGUUAUGAUACAUCGAUUGAGAUUUGACAUUUUUUUUUUAAAUCAGAUGACUUCAAAAUAAAUAGCCACACCCUAUAUAAUUAUACAAACCAGAUGGAGACUCGGAGAGAAGUCUAAGGUUUCGUUUGGACAUAGAUAUUGGUACGCUUGAAAUUGAUUUCGCCCAACAAUAGUUUUUUUUUGUUGUACAUAGAUUUUUUGUGAAAUCUCACGCGACACCGAUUCCAAUUCGUGUUUGAUUUUUUUUUGAAGAAAUUCAUGUUUGAAUGAACAACGUCUGGAAUUGUAUAUCCUCCACAUUGGCGGCAGGCUAGCAAACAAAAAAUGAAUAGCCGAUCUUCGUUAUCAGGAAUUACUAGAAAGUGUUUGAUUUCUUCGCUCAACUGGCCUCUUGCUGAGCUAGCUCAGAUAGGCUAGCUCGGCAUUGCUAGCUUUGCCGUUGGUUGUUUGCUUUUGCAUGGACGAGAUCAUGGUUUCCGUGAGGAUUGGAGAUUUGUUUCCGGCGUGCAGCGCUUCUCGCCGUCGGAGACGAGCCGAUCUUGCUCUCCUAAUGGGCAAGCAAUUUCUCGCCCACUCGGGCUGGCUCACCUCAAAAUCGAGGAUAAAUUUACGGAUCCAAUCGCUGGCCCUUGUAGGAGCUAGUUAAGCAUUUGCCUGAAACCAACCGGACCCUUGGUCCAAACCACCUUUUGCCCGAAAAGAAAAGAAACUCAGGUCGUCUUUUCUAAAGGAAAAUCCAAACAGUUUUUGCUUACAACCUUUUAACACCCCGUUGCUGCGUUGCAGGACUUCCCAGGAAAAUCCAAACAGGCUCCCUGCCCAAACCGCUCAAGCCGACGGGCUGGUCAUUGAUCCAACGGCUUCAAGCUUCGAAGGUACCGGAUCGCACGGCAUAGCCCCCCUACGACGGAGCACGGCCGCGCACAGGCAGCGAACCACCAAAGCACCGUCCAGAUUCCAGAACCAGGAAACCCACGCCCACGCCCGCGCCCGCCGCCCCCAACCUCGCCGCCUCCUCUCGGCUCGCCAUCCUCGUCAGAGCCGCACUGCCCCAUGGCCUGCGCCGGCUCCGCGCGGAAGGUGUCGGCCGUGCUGUACCACUACCCGUGCCCGGACGGCGCAUUCGCUGCGCUCGCCGCCCACCUCUACUUCUCCGCCGCCGCCCUCCCCGUCCGCUUCUUCCCCAACACGGUCUACGAUCCCAUCAGGUAGUCUUGUCUUCCAAACAGAACCUCAACUUGACCCGCCGUAACUUCAAUACCCGUGACUACAUCUGUUACGAUGCACGCGCGUUUCAGGUGUUUGCUCUGUCAGUAUUAAUGCAGUUGAUAAAUUUUACCUUUUGCGAUGUCUAGGUGUAGUUCCAUGAUCAAGUAAGCAUGUGUUUUUCGCAACAACAAAAAAAGUAAGCACGUGUUGUUCACUUUGACAAUGCUGUGGGCCUGUGGCGUUGAUUCAGUUCGUUUAAGCUAAAAUGUGUGUCCAUUUUUUGUGCUGUCCUUUUGUAGUUUUGUGCUUCUAAAAAAUCACCCGAAACUAGGGAUUAUAUCUCCCGCAUAAAAGGACCAUGCAAUGGAGUCAUAUUCUCCUGGGGAUAAGAAAAUUGGUAGUCUGAAACUGGAUGUUGUAUUUUAUCUCUGUCUGGAUUUCAGUACGUAAUCAGUUGUGGCAAUUUGGAAUGGGCAUUGGGCAACAAAUUCACCUAGAAUGUAUUGGUGUUUUUGUUGUCACGCCAUGCGAGCCUUGGAAAUGCAAACUCAGCAUGAUGAUCUUGUGUUUCUCAUGUUAUAACCCUGAUCUUAUUGUUUGCUUGUUUGUAGGAGCGAUGGUCUUCCGUUUGAUGAAAUCAAAGAUGUUUACCUUCUUGACUUUGUGGGUCCUCCCGGUUUCGUUGCUGAUAUAGCCCCAAAGGUUGAAAGGUAUUCAAACAUUCAUCUCGUACCUUCUUCCCUUUAUGUCGUAUUAUUUACUUGUUUGUUUGAGUAGAUGUGAAUUGUUUUAUUUACUUUGGAGCCAUACAGAUGUGAGGCUUCCUACUUUGAUGUGCAGUAGUCGGUCAUUCUCAAUAUUUGUAUUAUUUUUACUAAUUAAGUGUAAAACACCUUGGCCUUUUAUUCAGAUACCGUGGAACAAUUUUUGAACGCCGUAUUAUGGAUAUGCGGUUCAAGUGUAACAAUCUUCAAUCUUAGAUCAUCAUAAAACUGCUUCAGAAAGUUGUGUGGGAAUGGCAUACUUGGAGAUAUUUCUAUUAGUAUUAACUUAUUGUUUUUUCAGUGUAACAAUCCUAGACCAUCACAAGACUGCUAUGGAAAGUUUAUGUGGAAGUGCUGCCCUUGGACAAAAUGUCAAUAAGGUGAUUGACAUGCAACGCAGUGGAGCAACUAUUGCAUUCGACUUCUUUAGGAACAAGUUAUUGACGGAAGCUAGUAACUUACGGAAUCAUGGAAGUGGCAAUGCUGCAACUGAAGUGAAAUAUCUACCUGACAAUAAUCAUGAAAUGGUACAAAAGCUUUUCAAGUUUAUUGAGGAUGGAGAUCUUUGGAGGUGGACUAUUCCGAAUAGCAAGGCCUUUAGCAGUGGUCUCAAAGAUUUGGAUAUUGAAUUCAAUGUCAAUGCAAAUGGGAAGUUGUUUGAUCAGGUAACAAUUUUUACUUGCUAGUACUAGUGUUUUGCUGAUAAUUUAACUUUUGGUACUUGAUGAUUACUUCCUAUUCUGUAGCUGUUGCAAAACUGUAAAUCAGUCAUGUUACUGCAUAAUCUGAUCAUGCCUAUAUUAUUUUUGCAUUUCAAAGCUUAUCUCACAAUAUCUUUUUGUAAAUGUGCACUGGUCUUGUUAAAGUUGCUGGAGCUGGAUCCUGAGCAAGUCAUUGCUCGGGGACAAGUGACAUUAUCGCAGAAGCAAAAAUUAAUUGAUGACUGUUUGGAGAAGUCCUAUGAAAUUGAACUAGGCUGUGGCAAGUUUGGGAAUUGUCUGGUAAAAAUACAUAUGCAUAUCCCUUGUUUCUUUCUUGAUUGUUCUCUAUGAUCUUUUGCUGUAUGCACGGCACUGUUUUUUCCAUAAGAUGUCAAUAUUCCAUGGUAAUUGAUGUGAAAGACUGAAAGUGCAUUAUUGCAUAAAGAUGAUCUGGCAUUAGCGUUGCCUGAUCACAAACAUUAUAAAUUAACAUAUACUUUCUGUUGGUAAGUAUUAAUUCUUGAUUAAAAUCCCUUUUUGUACUUGUUUCAUGUGGCUAUUUGAUUUUUAAUAAAAUAUCAGCAAUCACCUUUAUGUUGAGCGGUGUGUGUACUUCAAACUACAUGUUUGUUCGAAGGCUGUUUUCGUUGAGUUGUUUUCUACCUGAUGGUUGUAAGAAUUAACUGUUGAGUACUUUUUACCCUUGUGCUAAAGAUACAUAGGGCUAUGCAAUAGGUGCAGAAGCUUUGGGAUGUUAAAAUAAAAUUUGGUAGGGAAGGUUCUGCAGAUGGCAUGUGCAAGUUCCGUGGUGCAGGGGUGUUACAUAUGCACCUCUGUUAUCUUGGCUUGUUCAGGAUUUUUCUUGGUUUGCACCAUUAGUUUAACCUUCAGUGAUCAUUUUCUAUAUUCAUUCACAUUUGACUGUCUGGUUCUCCAACUUUAGUAUAACUCUUAUGCUUUUAUUCAGGCCCAUUGCCUAAUAUGUCUUCCUAGGAUUGGCCUGUAAUCCAUAACCUAUCCUGUUAGGUGUAACCUUUCGCUCAAUACUUAAAUCUACAAUUGAAGCAUCUGAGGCCGCAUCAAUCGAGGAUACACGAUAGAAGGAAUUGUUAAUUAACCUCACCUUCCCAAAGCGUGGGUUUGCUUUACUAAUUUUGUUCUCUCUAUGCGAACCCCCUCUCCUUAUCAGAAGACUGAGGUGUAGGUAGGGCUAAAAAAAACAAAAAAAAAAGAGUCAAAUCGCACCAUCUCUAUGCAUCCAGUUUACUAUCUUCAUUUUGCGUUUUCACCAAC